AAACUUUAAUAAGACCAUAACAAUGCUAAGCAAAGCUUGUAAUCAAAUUCAAAGAAAUCUCAAAGGAAUUACAAAGAAAUAAUAAGAAAUCUUAAAGAAAUAUUAGAAUGAUCACAAAUAUAUCUCAAUUCAAUCUUAAUUUAAUCUUAGUUAAAAUCCUAUUAGACUUUAUUCAAACUUUAGGCCAAAAACUAACUAAAUAUUAAAUACUAAACAAAUCUUAAUAAAAUCCUAAAUCCUAAACCAAAUCCUAACCAAAUCCUAAAUCAAAUCCUAAUCAAAUUCUAAAUCCUAAAUCAAACCCUAACCAAAUCUUAAAUCCUAUAUCAAAUCCUAAAUCCUAAAACAAAGCCUAACCAAACCUUAAAUUCUUAAUCAAAUUCUAAAUCCUAAACUAAAUCCUAAUUCCUUAACCAAACCCUAAAUCCUAAACCAAAUCCUAAUCAAAUCUUAAAUCCUAAACCAAAUCCUAAUCAAAUCCUAAAUCCUAAACCAAAUACUAAUUCUAAAUCAAAACCUAAUCAAACUCUAAUUCUAAAUCAAAUCCUAACCAAAUCUUAAUCCUUAAUAAAAUUCUAAUCAAAUCAUAAAGCCUAAACCAAAUCCUAAAUCCUAAAACAAAUCCUAAGCAAACCCUAGUAAUUUCUACAACAAAAUUAAACCUCAAUAACUAAUGAAUGAACCAUCGAUCUUAACUUAAAUUUUUCACACUUCUUUAAAAUUAAGUUGAAAAUAAGCACAAGAAAUUUGAAAAGGAUCGGAAUUAUCAAAUAGACAAUAAACCCAAACAUGUGCUCGGGUAUUGGCCAGCCUCCUUCUCCAACCUUGAUACUAAUCUUUCAAAGCCAAUAUCUUUAUUUUUCACAAUUUGAUUGAUUUUAAAAUUCUCACACACAUAGAAAAACAAGUCCAAUAUCUUCAUACAUAAAUUUCACUCCAAUCCAACUAGUAGAUUGUAAGAAAUCUUAAAAAUUGUUACUAGACUUAAAAUUCUACUUUCUAAGACCUUGAUUCACUUAAACCUCAAUUACCCUCAUUUCAACUGUUAGAUCGAGCUAACAUUCAAAAUACAUAUGAAGCGCAACUAUAACCAUUAAUCUACAAAAUUUCAUUCAUAGAUCUAUUACAAAAUGCUUGAAGUCACUAGAAAUAUCAACCCUAUUUUAUUUUAUAAAAUCCAAGUCACCUGAAAACAAUCUUGACUUUGUAAAGCUCUUACAAAGUCAUUACAACUCCAAAUUGCCAAAUUCUAAUGCUUAUAGAAACCUUAUUGAGUUUGGUAUCAAAACCUACUCUUCAAUUUGCAAAAGAAUCCCGGAGUUGUCGUCGAGACUCGGUUUUGUGCCUCAAGGUCUGAUUUCGACCUUGGUUCAUAAUCUGCCCUCUCCGGGUAUCAAUAUGUAGUUUUUCUACGUAAAUUUUGCUAGAAUUUACUAUUAACUUCUUUCUUAAGAUGCAUAUAUUAUUCAUUUUUCCAAUAUACUUUGUUUUGCCUUAUUUAUGGUCCUACAAAGUAAGUAGAAGUUACCUUUCUAAAAAUGCAGCAUUGGUACCUUUUAGUUUUACUACCCUUUUGACUAUUAACUAUAUUUCUAAGAUAAUUUGCUCUAAUACUUUGAACUAACAUAUCCUAUAUUAUAAUAAUUUCCACACUCUUUUAUCUAUUUGUCGUGUUACAUCACGACAGCAUAAAAAUGUAUUAAGACAUGCAAUAUAUGUCAACAGUAUGCUAAGAAUGACUUAAAGAUGAGUUUUUCUUUCUUUAUGUGCUUACUUUUAGUUUUCUUUGAAAAAUAGGAAAAUGAUUAUAUUAGAGAGGUUCAUCUUAAUUUCAAUAGUGGUAUAAAAUGCAUAGUAGUAGCAACCAAAUACUUGACUAAGUGUGUUGAGGCAAAAACAGUUAAUGCCAACUAUGCCAAACAAGGUACCAAAUUUCUCUAUGAAUAAAUCAUCAUUAGAUUUGGAUGUCCAAAAAUCCUAAUUAGUGAUAGAAGCAAGUAUUUCUUAAAUGAAGUAAUAGAAUUUUUGACCUUUCGAUCUAAAAUUGAUUAUAGAAAAACUACUCCUUAUCACCGUCAAAUAAAUGAAUAUACAGAAAGGGUAAAUCAAACCUUGGUCAAUAUUCUUAGAAAAAUUGUCACAAUAUCUAAAAGAGAUUGAAAUACAAAGCUCCCUGUAGCCUUGUGGGCUUAUAGAACAACGUUUAAAGUGACAACCCAAGAAACUCCAUUUUCCUUGGUUUUUGGCAUAGAAGCUAUUUUAUCAAUUGAAUUUGAAAUUCCAUCCCUUUGAAUUGCCUUGAAAGAAAGAUUUUCAACUAAACAAUCAUUAAUUGAUAGAUUAGAGUGAUUAAAAGGUCUAGAUGAUACCAAAAGAUAGAGUGCUCAAUAUAUGAUGGCCAUUCAAAGAAGAAGAAAAAUUACCUUUGAUAAAAGACAUAAAGUUAAAAUCCUUGAGCUUGGCGUGUUAGUUCUCUUACAAGAUGCUAGGAGAUUAGAUUUUCUAGGAAAAUUUGAGGCCGUUGUUGUAUUACGUGCUUUCCUGCUCGACAAUGCACUGGACGUUUGGCUGUAGAAGGUAGUAUGGAGAUUCGCUAAUAUUCAAGCAGUCUAUCAGUUUUUGACUGUUGAAAUAUAAACAACUAUAAGAAUAUACCGUAAACCUAUACGGACGUCCUUCGACUGCUCGCCAAAAUCCUUUUUGCCCCAGCCGAUAGGUCUCUAGACGUUACAGAGAACCCCGAACAACCCAAACUGCUAAUCUUCGAUACCGCUUUAUACUCACGACCUUGUAUCCACUGACUAUCUUGUUAGAUUAACCCAAUAAAUUUCAUUCAUUCCGCAUACUCAAUCCUAUAGAUAUCCUUUUAAUUCUUCAAUCACAGACGUAACUUUGAUUUUACAAAAACAGUCAAGAAUAAUCACACCCAUUUCAUUAAAAAUCCCGAUUCACCAGUACAACACUGACUUCAGCAAUGAUUGCCUCAAUCUUCCCAAAAUCCUAUGAAGAAAAAAAAACCCCAAUUCUCUGUCUUUUUUCCCCUUCCCGAAGCAUGAAGCUAGCUCUCCGAUCCUUCUCCCAAAAAACUUCCUCCUCCCAAAAAUCCUAUUGCCACCCCUUCAUUUCUUAACCUAUCCUCCUUUUUAACCCUAAUUCUCCCCUCUUUCAAAGCCUAGCCUCUGAAUUUCUUCAAUCUUCCAUCUUGGAUCCGGAAUUGGCUCCACCGUAAGAGUUCUCUCCUCCAUUUUUACCUUUAAGAGAUCCUUUUACUGAAAACAAUGUUCCCUGAAAUGGCACAGAGAACAGGACAACCUGAAACAGAAUCGAAAUCCCGUAAUCGGGACCACAUUGAAUCGCCCAACCAAUUCAAGUCUCAUAUUGGCUAAGAGGCCUGUAGUAAGACCUGGAUGUUCCCGUAAUUGGACCGCAUUGGGUUGCCCGACCAAGUCAGGUCUCAUAUUGGGUAAGAGGCCCGUAGUAAGACCUGGAUUGGAUGUCUUGAAAUUGGAUCCAAUUGGCUCUUCGAACCAGGCUCAUCCAUCGUUGAAUUGGUCCUUUCCCUUUCUGCUGACUCCCGUUAUUGGAAUCAAAUGGAGCAUUUCAGUAUGCCCCGGCUGACUGUAACGGGGUGACUGAACCUGGCCUUAGUAUUUGCACUGGAGUUGGUGGUUGCUCCCAAUAUUCGAGAUAACUGAACAUUAAUAAAAGUCCCCUUUCUUUAUAUUUUCACGGUAUACUCGUGUUACAACACAAUACCAUAUGGUUAAGCCCUUACUUAGUUAAAGAAGUCUUUUUAAAUAACUCAGUUUGGCUACAAAUACUUAACAGGAAAGAUUUUUCUACUAGAAUAUUUAAAAAUAGAUGUAAAGAAUAUACAAUGUGAUUUUUAUCAUAUACAAAGUCAAAUGGCUCAUCCUCAAAUUUAUCCUUAUAGAAUCCCUCAAAUGGAAAAUUAUCAAAUUUAGGUGGAAUUUAGAAGCUAAACCAUUGGAAUUCAAGAUAAACAAUAGUCAUAUUCAUUUGUUUUGUCUUCUUUUCAAUUUAGUUCCUUCACCAAAAAAUUAGAGAUAUUCUAAGUAAAAGAGACAAGUACUUUAUGAAACUUUUAUAAAAAUAAAUAAAUAAAUAAAUAAAAAUAUAUAUUAUUAUUAUUAUUAAGAAUUGAAAGAACAUUUCUUAAUAAACAUCUAAAGCGCAUAGAGAUUGUCAAUUGACUGUCUCGAAUUCGAAUUUGGUUAGAAAAAAAUGGACUAUUCCAAUGAGCUAGUAUUAAUAUAGGAAAAGACCAACUUUGAUAUCCAAAAAAUUUAUGGACCUUAGAAGGUUGAUUGUAAAAUCCUCUCAUAUUAAAGAGGAAUCUAAAAAGAUCACUUUUUUAUUUCUUUGCUUUGAUUUCUUUUUAUAUAUAUAUAAUCAUUAAGUCCUAGGUUAGAUUUGAUUUUCUUUGUUUUCUUUGUAUAGAUCUAUAGAAAAAAACCUACUUUAAUUCUUUUAGAUUGGAAGAAAAUCAUUCAUCCUCAUCUUGAAUAGUUGUUAAAAUUCUUUUGUCAACAAUUACUCUUUUUAUUCGAUAGUAUUUUGAAAGGUAAAUUCUAGGUUCUUCUUGUUUGUAAGUUGUCCCAAAUGGUUGCCAUGUGUGAGUCAUCAAAUUGACUCACUUUUUUUUUUAGGAUAAAAAUAUAUAUUUAGAAUGCUUUAAAUCAUAAUAUAUAGUGAGUAGUAUAGAAAUCCUUAAAGAAAUAGAAAAUUAAAAUGUUAGUGGUGGAAAUGAGUCUUAGUAAGUCUUAGAAGCAAUUAUCUUCAUUGGUUUGGUAUUUUUAUUCAUUGUUGAAUAUUAAGAAUUAUUAUUAAGAAUAUUAUUUAUAUUGGUCUUCUCUCUAUAUGUAGUACUUAUAAAAACUAUAAAUUUUUGUAGUUAGAAGAAGUAUGAGAAAGAACCUUAUAUCAUUUUAAUUAUUGGUAUAAAAAAUAGGAUUUAUAGUAGAUUUAAAUUGAUUUUUAUUAGUAUCAAAAAUCACCAAGGUAGGUAAAUUUAGCUUUAGAUAGAUAUUACUAUUAUAGAAAUAUUAUAGGAUUUAUUUAGAAUUUAUUUAGAAUUUAUUUAGGAAUUUUUAGAGCAAUUUUCAAGAUCUUGGUAAAAAUGAGUUUUAUCACUUUGGGAGCCUCUAUGAAGAAAUGGAACAAGAUUUGAAGGUCACAGAAGGUUUCUAUACUAAUUGGGUGUUUUUGAAUACUAUGGUGAGGUCGAAUUUUCAAAAAUAAUGGUCUUUCUAGUAGAAAAUAAGAAGACUAGCAGCUAGUCCUUAUAAGAAGGAGGGUGCAUAAGUCCCAUAUGGAUUGUAGCACUUUGAAGGUAGUUAGGAGGAUAAGACUAAGGCCUCAAGGCCUCUCUUUAAUACCCUUAUAUACUACAUGUGAGCCUUGGUGAGGUUCGAACCCUUGAUCUAUAAGAAAAUUAUCUUUAAGAAUAAAAUAUUUUUACUUCACUUUUCAAUUAUUUACUUCAUAUCUUUAAAACCUCAUAACUUACUCAUAGUAAUUCGGAUUUACAUGUUUCUUAUGUCAUUGGAAAGACAAUGAAAUUACCUAUUUAAAAAUAUAUUUUUUACUUUUCAAUUUUUCUUUUUACCAGGUAAAAAUAUAGUGAACAGAAUAUGACUUAGUUUUGGGUGUUGUAAUUGCUUCAUGUCAUUUAUUUCAAUUGCUUUGUAGUUGUUCUUCUUUUGUUCUUGUUAAUUACCUACUUCACUUCACACUGCCAAUUACAAGCAACUCUUAAUUGAAGCAAUCUUGUAACUUAGAUUGAGGAGUGAAAAUUUAAAUUCACAAUAUGAUAGAAGCUCUUGCUUAGAAUUUUAAAUAGCAUAUAAAGUUCUUGGACUAGUAUUUAGUAAUGUAUUCUUUGAGUGAAGCCAAUUGAUUUUUUAAUAAGCUAUAAAUUGGUCUAAAUAUUAGUUGAGCUCCUUCUUAAAGAUCAAUUGAUUAAUUAUAAAAAUAAUUUUUUAAAAUAUAUUUAUAUUUAUUUUCUUAAAUAUAUCUUGAUAAUAUUUAUACUAGAUUGGAAUGCCACUUGAAGUCUUUUUACUAUUAGAAAUAGAUAUAAUAUUGAUGACAAUAGAUGAUUCUUCUUUUGCCACAUGCAUGAAGGUUCUUACACUACAAAUAAGGAUUUGAUUGUAUUAGAUUUAUAAAUUUUUAUUUAGUUAUCAAAAUCUUGGUUAUGGUAUAAAAAUGUUAAUAUUAUAAAAAAUCCAAUAUAUAUGAGGAUUAUACUUUUUAACCAUAAUAAACCUAAAAUCAAUAGAUUUAAAGAAAAAUUUAAAAUAUUAAAUACUUCUGAGCUAUUAUUACUAUUUUUUAUCAUAUUUAUAAGAAUAUGUUUAUGUGUAACAUCUCUAAAAGAUAAAAAUUGACAAUCUAUGACUUUUAUAUGGAUAGAAUUAAUUAUUUUUAAAGAUAUUAUUAUUUUUUUAAUAAAAGUUUUAUUUAAUAAACAAACUAAUAUUCUUUAAUCUAAUAAAGCAAAGGCUUUGUAAUUUUGAGGUCAUAAAAAAAUAUCUAUUAUAAAAUAAGGUGAUGGUUUUGAAAAAAGAAUAAGACCUUUGGUAGGUAUUGUAUAAGAUUUCAAUCACAUGAUUUCUAUUAUAACUAAAAAUACUUCUUUUUUGUCACAUUAUAUUUUUAAACAACCAUGCUUCUAAAUUUGUGGUUUUAUUGUUUCUUUGUAUAAUAUUAAGUAAUAAUAUAAGAAAAAUUCUUCUUAAUAACAUCAAGCAUUUUCUUACUUAUUAAUAGACUUAAAAUAUUUUGCAUCAAUUUACAUGUCUUCUACUUUCAAAUAUAUACAUUGAGAAGAUGUAUUUAUUGCCAUUAAAUUGUAAAGAUGUUAAAAUACAUAUGCAUCGCUCUUAAAUCAAAAUUUUGAAAAGUCAAUUAUCAUACUUUAUAUCAAAAUUAAUUGGUUUUAAUUUUGGAGGAUCAAAUAAAUUAAACAUCAAUUUUAUUACCUCAUAUUGCAAUAUUUAAAAACAUUGUUGGAUAAUCCAGCAUCAAAUUAUUUAAUAUUAAAUAUAAUUUGUUGAAAUUAUAAAAUAUAUGGUGAUACUAAAAAAUUAUUUUAAUAAAAAAUAUAAAACUUAUUAUUUAUAAUAUAUGAGUGUAAAAUUCACUUAGUAACCCAAUUACAAGAUGGCGUCAAUUAAAAGUUUCUUUGUAUAGGUGGUGUGAAGUGAAAGUAGCAAGAACAAGAAUAAAAUAAGCAAAAAACAAAACAAGUGGAACAAGUGCAAUCGAGCAAUUUUACACUACAAAACUAGUCACAAUCUGUUCACUGAAUUUUUAUCCAAUAAAAAGUAAAAAAUAAAUUUAAAAAAUAUUUUUUUAGAAAUUCAUUUUUUUUGUCUUUCCAAUGGUAUAAGGAACAUGUAAAUCCGAGUUAGUAUGAAUAAGUUAUGAAGGUUUGAAAAUAACAAGUAAAUAAAUAAAAUGUUAAGUAAAUAAAUUUUACGUCAAGGAUAAUUUGCUCAAGAGAUCAAGAGUUCGAGCCUCACUAAGGCUCACAAAUAGUUAUAUGGAUUGUCUAAAGAGGCCCUGAGGCCUUAGUCUUAUCUUCUAACCUAUACCCAAGGUGCUACAAUCCAUAUGGAAUUUGUACACCUCUCUUCCUACAAGGACUAGACUAGCUACUCGUCCUCCAAUUUCCAACUGGUAAAACUCAUCUUUUUAUAUUUUUGACUUUACUAUGGUAUUUAAAAAUACUCUAAUAGCCUAAGAACCUUGUAUGGCCUUCUAAUCUUGCUUCACUUCUUCAUAAUGGAUCCCAAAGUGGUAAAAUUCAUUUUUACCAAAGUCUUGGAAAUUAUUCUAAAAAUUCCUAAAAGCUUCUAAAUAAAUUCUAAAUAAAUUCUAAAAAUCCCUAUAAUGGUUCUAUAAUAUUAAUAUUAAUUGAAGGCUAUGAUUUCCUAACUUGAUGAUUUUUAUAGUAAUAAAAUUAAUUUAAAUCUACUAUAAAUCCUUCUUUAUAUAUAACUAACUAAUAAGACAUGAGGUUUUUUUUCAUGCUUCUUUUAACUACUAACUAAAAUUUAUAGUUUUUUAUUUUUUAUUUUUUAUAAGUAAUAUGUAUAGAUAGAAGGCUAAUAGAAAUAUUGACCUUAAUAACUAAUCCUCAUUACUCAACAAUAAGUAAAAAUCCUAAAUCAACUAAAAUAAUUGCCUCCAAGGUUUACUAAGACUUCAUUUUUUCUCUACUAAUAAUAUUUUCCUUCAUUUAACAUUCUCUAAGCACAUCUUCACCCAAAAAUUGUAAUUUUGGCACUCUACAUACAUUCUUUUGUCCUAAAAUAAGUAAUGAGUCAUUUUGAUGAGUCACAUAAUACAUAUUACAUCAUGUUCUUUAUUUAUGGAUCAAAACAUUUUUCAAAAAAAUACUCCAAAUUAUCUAAUAUUUAAUCAUGUUGUUCUAAAAAAGAUAAAAAAUUAUAAUAAAACUUAAUUUAAAAUGAAUAUUUUAAUACAUCUAACUUAUGAUUCUAAAAUUAAAUAAAUUUGAUGUUAAAGCUCAAUCAUUUAUUAUACUUGAUUGUUGAUUCUUUAAAAAUUUGAUCUUAUAUCAUUAAACUUUUUGAAGAAGGCAAAUCUUGAUUUUUUAAUACUUGAACAAUGUUUCAUAAAAAUAGAAAUAGUAUGAUUUGAUGUAGAUAUUGAAGGAGCUUGAAUUAUCUCUAUAUCUUUACUUCCAAUGAACUUUGUUAUUCUUUAUGGUAGUGAAUUGAGGUUAUAUAUUGUAAUUAUUAAUUAUCUUAUUUUCUUAUCAAUUUUUGAUAUUUCAUACUUCAUUCUAAUAAGAUUUUUUGUAAUAACAUAAUAAAAAAAAGGUGUCUAAUAUCACUUGAAAAAAAUUGAAGAAAAGUCUAAAGAAUAAAGACAAACUAAGAAAAAUAUAAAUUUAGAAAUAGAUAAUCUACAACUUCUAAUAAACUUGUAUCAUAUCAAAAUAAAUAAAUAAUUUAUUAUUAAUCAAAAAAAUAUUAAUUUUUAAUAUUAUAAUUAUAUUAUUGUUAAGAUAUUAAGGAUAAAAUUUUAAAGAGUAGCUAUUGCCAAAAACAAAAAAACUAAAAACUCUUAAAACUAGAUUAGAAAUAAGAAAAGAGUUCAUAAAAGUUGUGGAGGUAAAUUUCACCUCUCAACUUAAAUUACAAGAUAAAAUCAAUUAAUAAUUGCUUGUAAUUGGUAGUAUGAAGUGGAAGCAAUUAGAACAAGAACAAAAGAAGCACAACACAAAACAAGUGAAACAAGUGCAAUCAAGCAAUUAUACACUACAAAAUUAGUUAUAAUUUUUUUAUAGAAUUUUUUUAAUAAAAUAUAAAAAUUAAAAAUUAAAAAUUUAUUUUUAGAAAUAUAAUUUUUUUUUAUCUUUUUAAUGGUAUAAAAAACAUAUAAAUCCGAAUAACUAUGAAUAAAUUAUAAAGGUUUAAAAAUAAUACGUAAAUAAAUAAAAAAUCAAGUAAAUAAAUUUUAUCUCAAGGAUAACUUUCUUAAGAGAUCAAGAGUUUGAGCCUAUCUAAGGCUCACAUAUAGUUUAUAUGGUUGUUAUCUUUCUACCUAUAUCUAAGGUCUUAGUCUUAUUGUAGAAGGAUUAGAAAUUAUUUUUGUAAGAUAUUGGUAAAGUAGAUUAAUCAUUUCUAAGAUAGUCAAUUCAGUAGGACAGGUGAUUGAAUUAGUUAUGAAAAAUAGUUAAGGAAGGAAUGAUAGUUAGAACCUGGAAUUUCAGAAGUAAAGCAUAACUAAGUUAAAGAAGAUAUUUUAAGGGAAAAUUGUGAUAGUCAUGAACCGGGGUAAGCUUAAUGCUACCUCUUUGUUUCUUUGUUGUUGAAGAGUAAUAGUUAGUUUUUGAAUAUUGAGAAGUGAAUCUAUGAAAUAAAUCAGAGAUUGAUUUAUGAGUUUUUGAUUAUGUAAUUGGAGUACUAUGUAUUUGAAUUAUAUGAGAAGUUAUUAGAAGAUUGAUUAUGGAUGGAAGAUUAUGAUUGUCGUUUAUUGAAAGUUGUGUAUAUUUUGACAAAGGACGUCUGUGAUUAUAGAAAUUAUGUGAAUCCAGAUUGGUUGGAGUGAAGUCUAUUAUUUUUGGUGUUGGAUGAAAUUUGUGUGUUUUGAACAAUCUUUUGAGAAUGCAGGAUUGCACAUUGUUGUUAUCAGUUAAUAAAGGAAUAUUGUUACUAGGAGAAAGCAUUGUAGUAUUUCUUGGUGUUUUAGUAGUUCAAAUUACGAUUAAUUGUGUGAUCCUAAUAUAUAAGUUCAUACAAUAGUCUUUCUUUGUGUUCGAAUCCUCCUUUAUGAAUUUAUUCACAAAAAAAUUUGUAGAAUAAGUAAAACGAUAACCACAUUUUGGUGCCUUUGUUGGGAAAUGACAAUAGUAUUGAGUGUUAGGAAUUAGCGGCCAAAUGAGUAGUUUUGGAUGUUGCACGAAGAGGUUAUAAAAUUGAAAUUGGUUCAAAAGUGAAGAAAAUUGUGUAAUUAGAUGGGAGAUAGGAAGAAAAUUUAACAAUAUAUAAUGAAAGAUUAUGGUUAUUAAAAAUAAAAACAUUGCAGUAAAGAAAACACGUCACUCAAAAAAAAAACAAGAGAGAGCGUUGUCGUGUUGUGGUUCGGCUAUUACAUGAAAAUAAUGUAAUUAUGUACUUAAUAAAAUUUUUAAUAAUUUAUUAAGUAACAUGAUGAGAGCUAUAUUGGUAGAUUUUAGUUGAUUGUAGAAUAUAAUUUGAUUAUUAACUUGAGAAGAGGUUGUUUAAAAAGAUUACUAUAAAAUUUGUAUAACUUUAAUUUCUUUUGAUAGUAGGUUUUAAGAUUGGUUUUGGUUGAUAAUAACUUCUAAAUAUUAAGAAUCACCUUUGUUAGAUAUUGGUGACAUUUGAAAACUUAUUUUGGUACUUUUAUUUGGUAUUUAGAGUAUAAAUUAUAUAAAUCUUAUAAGAAAAAGGAUUGAAGAAGGGUUUUGGUAGCAAAGGGAGUAAUUAAGGUACCAAUAUAGAUGAAUGGAGAUAGAUGAUGAAAAUCUCCAUUCAUAUUGGUCAAAAAUCAUGACCAAUAGGCUUUGAGGAGGCUGCCCGAGGCCAUAUUAGGGAUUAGGAUUAGUUUUUCGAAGCCAUUGGAGCUUUGAAGGCUAGGAUAAACAAGUUUAGGUUUUUGGCUAUGAUUUUGGUACAAAUUUUGUAUGGUUUGGAGUUUAUAUGAAGGAAAUAUAGGCUCUCAAAGUUAAGGUGUUGAUUUGAGAGCUAUUAUCACUCUUUUUGGCAUAACGCACACGUACGAAUGACAAUUGUAGUUUGGUGAUUGCGACUAAAGAGACUACUUUUGUAGCCACACUUUUUGGACACCACUUGCUGGAUUCCAAGUUGAAGUAAAGGAGUUAUUGGAUUUUGAAGUUAGCACAUGCAAUCUAAAGAUAGUAAGUGACCCAAUUUACUAGUCGUUGUGUCUUGAGCUAUAUCUUGAGCAAUGUGACAAGAUUUUGGCUCAAAAUUUCAGGAAAUAUGUACAUUCAUAUUAAUAAAAAAUUUAUGAAAGUUUGAUGAUAUUUGAAUAUUGGAUUCUUGAGAUAUUAAGAAAAUAGUGCUCAUGUACUUGUAAAUUAGGGUUUAGAGCAUCUGCUAGGAUUUCUUAGAUGCCAAAAGAUUGGAAGUGAAUUUAUAGUUGGUUUUAUUUUGAUAAAAGCUAAGGGUAAAUUCUAACUAUCUUAUAAAUUGUAGACAAAUUGAAUAGUUAGAUCAAGAGUUAUGAAUUUCUAAAGUUUAAGAAGAAAAAAUCCUUCGUGGAAAAAAUAUGUUUUGAAGGGAUUUUAUUAUAUUUUGAGUUUUAUACAAAAUAAAGGAGUUUUGGAAGCUAAGAAAAGGUUUAAGCUACAUUCUCUACAACAAGAUAUCUAGUGUAUUUCCAAAUAGCAAAUCACACUAUAUGACAGCAUAAGCAAGAGAAUUCUAACGAAAUGAACAAAAACACAAGUUAAAAAAGAAGCAUUAACAAAGUUGGAUUAAGCCAUGGUUGCAUGCUUGUCAACAUAUCCAAGCAUAUUCAAAAGUUAACCGACCUCUAAUAUUUUAGAUAUAUAUACCAAUAAUAAAAUUUUCAAGUUAUAUAUCUAAAUAACUAUGAAUAAGUUAUAAAGGUUUAAAAAUAACAAGUAAAUAAAUAAAAAAUUAAGUGAAUAAAUUUUAUCUUAAGAAUAACUUCCUUAAGAGAUCAAAAGUUCGAGCCUAUCCAAGGCUCACAAAUAAUUUAUAUGGUUGUUAUCUUUCUACCUAUAUCUGAGGUCUUACUUUUAUCUUUCUAUCUAUAUUUAAGAUCUUAGACUUAUCUUCUUUCCUAUACCUAAGGUGCUGCAAUCCAUAUAGGACUUGUGCACCUUCUUUUCUACAAGGACUAGACUAGGUGCUGGUCCUCCUAUUUUCUACUAAUAAAACUAAUAUUUUUAUAUUUUUUACUUUAUCAUGGUAUUAAAAAACAUCCAAUUAGCCUAAGAAUCUCGUGUGGCCUUCAAAUCUUACUUUAUUUCUUCAUAAUGGCUUGCAAAUUAGUAAAACUUAUUUUUAUCAAAGUCUUGAAAACUACUCUAAAAAUUCCUUAAAAAUUCUAAAUAAAUUUUAAAUAAACUAUAAAAAUUCUUAUAAUUUUUUUAUAAUAUUAUUAUAAAUUUAAAGCUAUAUUUUCUUAUCUUAAUUAUUUUUUAUAGUAAUAAAAUAAAUCUAAAUAAGCUAUAAAUCCUAUUUUUUAUAUAAUUAAUUAAAAAUACACGAGGUUCUUUUUCAUACUUCUUCCAACUACUAACUACCAUUUAUAAUUUUUUAUAAUUAAUAUAUAUAUAUAUAUAUAUAUAUAUAUAUAAAGUAAAUAUAAAUAUUGAUUUUAAUAAAUAAUUCUUAAUAUUCAAUAAUAAGUAUAAAUACUAAAUCAACUAAGAUGAUUGCUACCAUGACUUAUUAAGAUUCUAUUUUUAAAAUUAAUAUUUUAAUUUUCUAUUUGUAUGAGGAGUUCUAUACUAUUUAUUAUAUAUUAUGAUUUUAAGCACUUUAAAUGUAUCUUUUUAUCCUAAAACAACUAGUGAGUCGAUUUGAUGACUCUUAAAAGUAAAGAAGAUCUUACUCUUGCCUCUAUAUAUAUUAUCUAACUAACGAGCUACCUAUCAAUAUUUUAUAGAUAAUUUGAUAACCUUUGGAACAUGUAUCAAAAUUAUAAAAUAAAUUUUUAAAAUAUUUGCAACAUUGUCAAUGUGUAUAAAAAGAGGCCAAUUUCCAAAGCAAAUAGUCAAUAUGUACAACAUGUGGCCAACUUCUAAGCCAAGUUAUGAACCAAUCAUUUACCUAAAAAUACUUAAAAAUCCAAAUCCUUAUUUAUGAAGCUUCUCUAUAAGGGAUUAUCAAUUUUAUCAAUUUUUAUUUAUUUCUACUUAACUACUCUUAACUAGUAUUAAUAUGUAUGUCUAUAACAUCAAAUAAGAUUAGAACAUGAAGAGAAAAAGAUUGAAAGAAAAAACAUGAACUUGACUUUUGAAUUUAUUAAGAAUAAUAUAACUUUAGUACAUAAUAUUAGAUGCAAAUUUGGCUUAUUCUUUUAUUACUAAAUUAUUUUGUAAAAAAUCAAGUAAAAAAUUAUCUCAUUAAUCUAAUCUCAAUCAAAAUUAAAUUAUAAAUAUAUAUAUAUAUAUAUAUAUAUAUAUAUAUAUAUAUANNNNNNNNNNNNNNNNNNNNNNNNNNNNNNNNNNNNNNNNNNNNNNNNNNNNNNNNNNNNNNNNNNNNNNNNNNNNNNNNNNNNNNNNNNNNNNNNNNNNAAAAUAAAAUUAAGAUGUUUUGAUUAAAUUAAAUAGUAUUGAAUUAUAUUAAGUAUAUAUAGAUAUUAGUCUAUGAAAAAGGUAAUAAUACUAUGAUUCUUAAAUAAAGUAACUUAAGACUAUAAAUUGAAGGUUAAAAUCAAAAAUUUGGAUAAUAAAUAUGCUAUAUUUAAAAAUAAUAAUUUUAAUAAAAUUUGAUAAAUAAAGAAUAAAAAAUUUGAAAUAUUAAAAUAAUAUUUAUAAUUUAUUUUUUAAUGAUAUUUAUUAUAUUCUCACAAAAUUUCAUGUAACCUUCUAUCGCUUCAGGAAGCAAGUAGUGUAGCUAUGGUACAAGCUAAUAAUGUUAUUGAAAUCAUACUUUAUAAUUAAAGAAUAUGUUAAAUUUAUUUUCAUCAUUCACUUGUAUUUCUCUAAAGAAAUUUGUAGCUCAAAAGAAGAAACUUCCAUUCAAAAAACCAAUCUAUAUCAAACCUAUUUAUAUUCUAAAAGUUUAUAGCUUUUUUAUUGUUUUUAUUUUUUUUCAAAAACAUUAAUAAUUGUUGGUAUUUGGAUCAAAGACCUAAAGUUUCUUUGUAUUAAGAAAGGUAUUGAAUAUUUUUUUAUAGUAUCAACAUAUCAUAUUUAUGUGAUUUAUUAUGCUUCAUCAUUUGAUAGAAACCUUGACUUAUUUGUCGUUUAAUUUUUCUCUUUUAUUCUAUUUUUUAUCUUUUUUAGUUAAUUUGUGUAAAUUUCUUAUUAGUAGUACUUACAAUGAUAUGAUUUACUCUUUUUAGAUCAUCUUUUGCAUCAACUUUUUGAUAUUGCAAUGAAUCCACCUAAUAUUUUUUGCAAUAUUAUUUUGUCAUUGUAAUAAAACCUAGGAUUCUUUAAACAUUAAGAUUUAAAAUGCAAUCUUUUAUGUAUGUUGAAAAUAUUGUUGUAAAGUUUAUUAAAUGAUUGCAAUUUCUAUAAGUACAUUGCAUGGUUAAAUUGGUGCACAUUAUCUUUGACUUCUUCAUCUAUUUUUAUAAUUUUUCAUUUCUUGACUUUUAAUUUUAAUUUAUUUUAAUUUAUUAUUUAUAUUUAUAUUAAUAAUUAUAUAUUUCUUAUUUUUCUAUAUACAUUUAUUUAACUUCUUUUUAGUAUGUUUUAAUGGUUUUUUUAUACAACUUCAAAAAAAUAACUAAAAAUUUAGAAACACUUCAAUAUAAUUGAAUAUUUUAAUAUUUUAGCCUUCAAUAAAGCCAAAAAGUUGGAAAAGUUAUAAUAUCUAGGUUUAUCUUAAAUAUGAAGAAAAUAAUAAGUUUUGGUUUAUUAUUAUAUCUUUAAUUGUUUACCAUACCACAAAUUAUUGUUAAGAAUUUCAAAAUAAAAAUUGCAAGCCUAAAAUAUUUAAUCACCACACAUAAAUCAUAAAGUUGUAAUGAAACUAAAUGUGGUUUGGUGAUAGAAUGAAGCAAUGCCAUCAAAGACCUAAGCCAUUUAUACAAUUUCAAUCCUAUCUAUAAUUGACAUUAAAAAUUUUGAAGCAAAUAAGAAUCUUAAGAUGUCUAAUGUGAAUAAAAGAUGCCUAUGAAUAAUAUGCACAAUUUUUUUGCUGAUAAUAUACAAGAUGAAACCAUGUCUAUACCACUCUAUAUACUCAAUCUUUUCUUUGCUUGAAAUAUUUAAGUGAUACUAAAAUAUCUAUAUUCUUCUUAACCUACAUAAAUGAGCCACUCAAAAAUGUGCGAGUGAAUGUAAUAUUUGAUGAUGGAUCACCUUUAUAAUAAUUUCUUAUAUUUUUAUUAUUUUAUUUUUAAAUGAUUAAUCUAAAAAUAUUUCUUUUUAGCAACUAUAAUUGUAUCUUUUUGAUGCCAAAGUCAAACAGAUUCAUAUCUAUCACAUUGCAGCAAAUGAAAUAUAAGCACCUGCUAAAGAUAAUGGUGGACAAUGGUGUGAUACAUUCAACAGUGUUGUUAUAUGAUAUAAGUCAAAAUCAUGAAUUUAGACAUUGACAGUGACAUAAAGCACUAAUACUUCCAAAGUUAGUUGAAGUCCAAAUUUGAUGAUGAAUCCAAACUCACUUCUCUCUUCUUACGUCAAUGACCUCAUCUUAAAUAAGUUUUGGUAAAUAUGGUCUAUCACAAAUAGCACCAAUGAGCCAGACAUAUUGCCAUACUUUGAAAAUAUCUCCUAGCCGCUUUAUAUCUUAUCUUUGCUUAGCUUCAAUUUUUCCUCUACCAAAUUUAAAAUGGCUAUAUUUUUGGAUGUAUUGCCCAAAUUAUAUUAUUCUAUUGUACUGAGUCCAUACACUUCCUACUCUUAUUUAAAAACUUUUCAAUGUUCUUAAAAAUCAGUUUAAGCACAUCCUUCAUGAAGUAGAAGAUGAGUAUUACUUCUAUGAGGUAUCUAUUAAUGGUGCCAUCAUUAUAUUGUAAGAUGGACUCUUCUGUUGAUUACACCUUAAACAAUAAUUUUUUUACCUAUGGCUUAUGAUCAGAUCCUAUAAUGUACACACUUGCAUCUUUGCCAAAUAGAGCUGAGUCUAGAAGCCUGUUCAAGUGGUUUUAGCUUUUGACAGAAUAUGUUAUGGUAAUAAUCUAACUAUAUAUUAUCAAUACUCCAAUGCUAUUGUUGUUCCUUGUGAGAUAUUAGGCCACUAUAAGCACCAAUGUCCCACCAAAGUACAUGGUCUCAUCUUAAAAUAUAAUUGUUACAAUUAAUUAUGUGUGAGGUAUUCAAGAGUCAUACCUUCUUUACGAGAUGCAACCUUUACAAUUGAACUUUCUUUGACAAUAUAAAGUAAAAUACAAAACAAGCAAUAAUAAUAAAAAAAAAUCUAAUUAUUUUAAAAAAAUAAAACUUAUAUUUUUAAGUUUUAAUAUGGUAUCAAAGCAUCUCUCUGAAAAUUUAGCAAAGCAUGUUCUAGAGAAGAAGUAAUUAAAAAAAUCAAAAAAAAAGAGGCUUUCUUGAAGAUAUUCUUCAAAAAAACUCGAAUAUUAAUAAACCUUCUUUUUUAUGAAUAUGGCUAUGAAUAGCCUCUCUACUAACAAAUGAUCCAAGUUUGAUGGUCUAUAGUACUCAAUUUGGAAACAAAAAAAUCAAAUAAAAUUUGAUUUAAAAGACGUUUGGAAUCAAAUUUUAAGAAUUGAAGAAGAAUUAAUUCCUAUCCUAAAACCAAAUUCAACAUUACCAAAAAAUCAAAGUGAAAUAUUCACAUAGAAGAAGGAAAAACAAAUGGUACUUUUUUCUAUAUAGAAUUGUAUUGAUAAUUUGAUUUUUUUACAUGUAGAAGCUUGCAAAAUAGCAAAUAAAGCUUAGAUAUCUCUUGAGAAUAUGUACUCAAUAAAUAUCAUGGUCACAUAAGCCCACCUACAAAAAAAUUCAUCACACAAAAGAUGAAAGCAAAAGAAUCAAUUACACAAUAUCUCCACAAUUUCAAAAAUCUACUUCAACAAUGUCAAGCCAUAUUAGAUGUUAUUUCACCACAAAUAGAAAUAUUAAUCCUUAUGAGAUCUAUGCCAUCACAAUAUGGUUCUAUCAUCUAAACAUUAAGAACUAUAAAAAAUACAAUACUUCCUAAGCUAAUUUCUAUUUUUUUUUCAAAAUAAAAUAAUUAUAAAAGGUUAUUUUUUUGAAUUACAAGCCUUUUUUAUUAAUAAAAAAAAAACAAAUAGCCAUUAAAACAACCACCAAAAUAAUAUUCAUAAGAAUACAAAUAUAAUAUCUAAUCCUAAAGUAAGCCUACUUUUCUAUAUUUUUAUUGUAAAAAGAUGGAAUAUUAGACAUUAGACUAUUUUUAGAAAAAAUAUUAAAAAUUAUGCCACAACAAUAAAUAAUUUAAGAAAAUCAAAAAUAAUAUAGAAAGAUAAAAAUGUGAAAGAAAUUCCACCUUCUUUUUUAUGCUCAUUCUUACAUUUUAGAAGCAUUUUGUUCUACAAAAUGUCUCCAACUUAAAAAAAUAAGAAACAAUCAAUAUAUGGUUGAUAUUGGAGCUCUACAUCAUCUAAUUCAUAUCAAAAUAUAAUUUAUUAAUUUUCAAAGUCAAUCAUUUAAUGAUCACUAAGUGCAUCUUAGAAACAAUAGAAUACUCCUAAUCUAUAGACAAGGAACAAUUAAAAUUUAGCUAGAAAAGGGAUCCAUAUAUUAUCUUUUAAAUUUUUUAUAUAUUCCAAAUUUAUAUAAAAAUAUAUUUUCAGCAUGCAAAUAUGACGAAACUAGAAUACAACUCCUAAAUAAAAAUCAAACUUAUAAGCUAUUGGAUUAAGAUGAUCAAGUUCUUAUUGAGUAUCUUUUCUACAAUAAUCUAUACUUGUUAGGAGCCAUUGUUCUCUUUGCUUUAUUUAUAGCUAAGAUGGUAGUCAUAACACAUGCCUUACUCAUGGCACCAAAUUUUAUUUUUUAGACCCCAAAAAACUACUCUAUUGAAAUUUUCGAAUAAAUUUGUAUCUCUUUACAUUAUCUCAAUAUUUUUAUAGCCAAUGGACAUCAUGUAUAAGAAUCUUGACUGUUGUCAAUCUCAAUUUAAGUUCUUAGCAUUGAAUUCAUGCUUAAUUAAUCUUCUUCAUCAACAUCUUCUAUUAUAAUAUAACUCUAAUAUUAUUGCUUAGGCUAUAUCAACAAUUCUAGAUUAUAAAAAUUAUUUAAAAAUAAAACCAUACUUAAAGUCUUUUUAAAUUUAUUUUUUUUAUAUCUAUAUUAUAUAUGUAUUUAUGGCAAAUAUAUCACUAUAAUAUUCUUUAAAGAAUUUAUAUUUAGAGCCAUUUAUCUUAUAGAAAUUAUUCAUUCAAAUUUAAGUAGUAGAAUUGUAACACCCAUUAUUUUAGAUAUGAAUAUUAUAUUAUUUUUAUUGACAAUUUCUCCAAACACAUUGUCUUUAGACUUCUUUGAUGAAAAAAUGGGUACUUUAAAUUCUUUAAUAUGUGGAUAGAAAAAUAAAUUAGAUAUAAACUAUAGACUCUCCAUUCCAAUGAAAGAGGAAGGUAUUUUUCUUUUGUCUUUGAUUACUACCUACAAGACAAUAGCAUACAAUGCCAAUUAACUAUUGCCUAUAGCUUUCAAAAAAAAUGAGGUGAGACAACAAAAAAAUAAAGCUUUAUUCAAUACAACUAAGUAUAUGUUCUAUGAAGAAAAUUUACCAAAGUCAUAUUAAAUAGAAGUAAUUACUUAUGCAACAUAUCUUUAAAAUUACAUUCCAACUAAAUUUAUUCUAAGUCAUGCCACUCUUUUAGAAUUAUGAUACAAAAAAGAAUUAAAUCUAUCACAUCUUUGUGUAUUUUGGAGCAAGUAUUAUGCAAAAAAUUCUAAUGCAUUAAGAACCAAACUCAACAUGACCACAAUCAAAUAUACCUUCUUGGGAUAUAGUCACACUAGUAAGGUUGAAGAUGUAUAUACAAAGGUUAUGCUUACUUCUCAAAGUAUAAUAUUUCCAGAGGAUACCCUACCUAUUCAAAAGCAUGAUAUUUUUAUUUAAACUUGAAAUUUUUUCCAACAAUUUUUGCUUUGAUAGUGUUAUUUCUUGUUUUAACAAUGGCCUACUUCAGACAACCAACCUUAUAGCUACUACUUCAUCCACUAAACUUAUUGUAUAUGCAUUGCUACUAGUUUUUGAAGUCUUUGUCUUACCAUUGGUUCCUAAAGACUGUACAAUCUAGACUAAACAACUCACAUUUCCUAUGCGGAGUGUUUUUUUAGGCCCUGCUGUAUACUCAGUACAAUUUGUCUUUUCAAUACUUAUUGUUACUAUAGAGCAUAUAAGGCCUCAUCCUACCUAAGAUUAUUCCUUUUCUACCAAACUACUAUUACUACAAGUACCUUGAUUCAAAGUUAUAUUGCCUGUGCAACUCUUCAAUUAUGCCUUUCUUUUAUUGUUGGCCAUUGUAGCCCCUGUAUUUAUGCCAGUGGACAACAUUCAUUGCUUUCUUCUACAUUCAACUCUAACUCGUCCUCUUUGUAGCUAUAAAGAUGAAUAAUCUAGCAUCAAAGUCAUACUUCAUAUAGAGAAUCAUUCAUAAUCACCCAAAAAUUCCUAUCUUUGACUAUUAUCUCUAGAUCUUGACCAUAGUACCUUUCUUGCUACAAUAUUGUCUCUUAGCAUAAUAUUUGCUCUCUUCCAUUGUACCUCUAUUAAAUCAAUAAAAGAUAUUUUUUUUCUUUGUAAUUUCAAUGAAAAUUAUGACUUUAAUAUUUUAACACUUUGAUGGUUCUAUGUUAUUUUUAUAAAAACAUGGGCAUUAUAUAUCUUAACUCUUAUUUUGUUAGAAUUGAUCUCAUACAAACAUGCUUUGACUUCUUUCAAAUCUACCCAUUAAAAGGCUACUACUACUAAUGAGCUCAACUCUCAUGUAGUCAAUAGAACUUGGAUCUUCAAUGACCUCCUUCACAACCAACAGUCAAUUAUUAGUAAGUGGAUCUUCAAACUCAAAUUUAAGAGUGACAACCACAUUGCUCGAAAUACUGCUUGUCUUGUUGUCCCAAAAUUCAAUCAAAAUUUAGAAUUGAAUUAUAAAAAGAAAAAAAAAUAAAAAUAAAAAAAAAUUGAUUAUUUGAAUCCAAUCAAUUUAUCUCAUGCUUGUCCUUACCAUUCAAAAAAAUCUACACAUCUAUCAAAUAGAUGUUAUGAUAAUAUUCUUAAAUGGCAUUUUAUAAGAAAAAAUCUUAAUAAAAGUCUUAUCUACCAUUACUCUUCUAUGCCUUGAGCUAGUCUAUCAUCUCUAAAAAACAUUGUAUGGCCUAAAGUAGUCACUAGAAAAAUGGUUUUAGGUCAUUGAUGCCUAUCUUAAUUGAAUGAGAUUUCAAAACUCUAUGACUUAUCUCAAUAUCUAUCUUCUAAAUUAUAACUAUUUCUUUGUCAUUUUCAUGCUUCAUAUAGAUAAUAUUAUGCUUGCUAAUAAUAAUCUUUUGAUUUUUUAUGACAUCAAGAAUAGCUAUAUUUUUGUUUCUUGUUGUCUAAACUUGAUGAUGUUUAUUAAAUCUUCAAGCUUCAAGUUAUUUAUGAUAAGCAAAAGGACUAACUUUGUAUUCUUUAAAGCUUAAAUUUUAUGUAAAAAUUAUAGGAAUAUGGCUUCUUAGAUGCUCAAUUUAUAUCAACUCUCCUUGUAUCUAGGAUCAAACUUUUGGCCUCUAUUUGUCUUUCUAAAUCUUCCACAAGUGAUGCCAAUUCAACUUUUUGCUACGCCAAUGCUAUUAGUUUGCUAAAUUGUGCGAGCAUAUACACCUACUUAGACAUUGCCUUUGUGGUGACCAUCUUCAUCUAGUACAUGCAUAAUCUUGAGGCCAAACAUGUCAUCACUUGCAAACAUUAUUUUUACUACCUCCACAAUACAUUACAUUUUGCUAUUAAAUAUUAUCAUGAUAUAAUUAUGCUAUAUUUUUUAUUUGUCUAUAAUUAUUUAGAUUGGAUUGAAAAAGUAGAUGAAAAGUAUUCCACGUGGUAUUUUAUUAUGUGUUGAAUUUUUUGAGAAUGCAUUAAGUAUAUGGCUAUAGAAGGUAAAGUUGUAUUCUAAAAAUAUCAAAGAAAUUUUAAUAGGUUUUAUUCAUAUAAAAAGAAUGUAAUUCGAAUUUCAACUCAAAAGUACUUAAAACUAAUAUAAAGUAUUCAAAAAUACUCUUCUUAAUAACCUUGAUUAUAUAUAAAUUCUAAAUAUCCUAUUACUUUCAUAUUAGAUAAUUUCAAUUUUUCUUUAUAAGCCAUCAUUCUAGUUAGUGAGCUGCAAUAAGCUGUAAUUUCUAAUUUGACUCUCUAUCUGGCAUAAAAUUUUACAUAAAAAUGCCAUUAAAAAUCUUCUAUAUACUCUAGAAAAUUCAAUUCAAUCCAAAUUACAAAUUAUAAGAAAAUGUCCAAAAAAACAACCCUAAUGUCACUUGGCUGCCAACUCAAAAGUUGAUAUAGAUGUUCUAAUAGUGUUUUUUCCUUCUUUAACUAUUAAAUUUAGCUUAAAAUUGGUAUAUAGCUUGACCUUUAAGUCUUCUAAAACCAUGCCAAAUUUUAUCUUAUUUCGACUAAUAGAUCUUCAUGUAAUAGAGAAAUCCUACUCAACCCCAAAUUGCCAACUUUUAUUAUCUUCUUGCAUAAAAAAUUAGAUAUCUCUUAAUUUCACUAUUAAAUUAAUACUAAAUUUUAUGCACACUUGGUACAUCCAAUCAAUCAAGCAUUAUCAAAUUUUGAACUAUAGAUGUAACACUAAUAGCUCAAACUAGCUAAGAGAACUAACUUUAAUUGUAUUGCAUAAAUCUAAAGUCACCAAUAAAAUUUUUGAAUUUGAACAAUAAUUACAAAGUCAUUUCAAAUCUCAUGAAAAUAAGCUUUAUACUUCUAAAAUAAGCUUAAAGCUAGCUCUCCAAUCCUAGUUACUAAUCUUCAUAUACAUCUAUAUUUUGCCCUACGUUGCCAUUUUAGUAGCUAGAGGUCUGAUUUAUUGUGUGGCAUAGGUUUCAUCAAGUGGUGAAAUUUGGCCUCAUACUAUUGAAUUCUAAAACCGAGCUUGUAAUGUCAACUGGAAUGACAAAGCCCUUAUCAAUCAAUUUUGAUAUGAAUUAAAAGAUAAUGUCAAAGGUUUGUUAUUGACAAUAUCAAAGGUAGAAUAUUUAGAAUAAUUUAUUGCUCAAGCCAUUACAUAUGAUAAUGAAUUAUUAGAAAGACAUGAAGAACAAAGACUUGGUUGAAAAAAAAGAAAUCAAGUAAUGAUGGUAAUUUCCAAGUUUUUGGAAAUACAUUCAUCAAGACCAAAACCAAUACAAAUUGAUAGGAUAUAUUUUGAAAUCCUUCAUAUAGCAGGAAAAGACUCAACAAUGUCAAGAGGGAUUAUUCUUAUAUUGUAGAGAAGCUAAACACACUGCUCAAUAUUGUCCAAAGAAACAAUGCAACUAUAAAAUAAGAAGCAUGGUUGCCAAAGAAGAUAAUGUAUCAAUAAACGAGUUUUUUCAACUACAAUAGGGACCAUGUAGCUAAAAUCUUGCAUAACUCCUAGUAAAAGUCAUAUUCUCUCUUCAAAUCCCUCACCUUCUUUUACAAUAGAAGUUUAUUUAGGACCAAAAAAUCAUCAAGUCUUAAAUUGAUUAGAUUCAAGAACUUCAUCUUGUUUUACAAAUGAAGAUUUUCUCAAAAAAUAAGAGAUAUCAUUAAUCAAAAUAACUAAACCUAUACAUGUAGAAAUCAUAGAUGAUCAUUUGUUAUCUUUUAGAGAUAUAAUGCAUGAAAUUAUUUCUUUAGAUGUAGCAAUUAAACAUCAUAAUAGCAUAGUAAUAUUUAAUAUAAUAAGAUCGCUAUUUAAUCUAAUUAUUUUAGAAUUAUCUUGAUUAAAAAAAUAUAAUCUUUAAAUAGAUUGGAUUUCUUGUAAUCUUAAUUUUUUUCAUAAUUUAAUCCAAAAUCUUGUUAAUCAAAUAAAAAUAUAUAAGUCUAAUAUAUCCAAACCUUUAUUGGUAGGUAUGAAAGCUUUCAUGUAUGCCACAAAAGAAGGAUUAUCUUUUGUUUUAUAUUCCAUAUUUAUUUUUGAUGGUGAAAAGAUGUCAAAUAAUAUUCUUAACUGGUAUCAAGAUUUCUAGGAUGUUUUAUGAAAAGAAGAAUGCAGAUAUUUUUUUAGAGCAUCAUUCUUAUGAUUGUUCCAUUGAUCUUUAUGAAAAAGCUCAACCACCAUUUGGACCAAUCUAUAGCCUAUUACAAAAUGAGUUGGUUGCACUCAAGGAGUACAUUGAUGAAAACUUGGCUAAAAAUUUUAUAUGUCAUUUUAAAUUUCUAAACAAGACUCCUAUCUUAAUUUUGAAAAAUAAAGAUGGAUCUCUACAAAUAUGUAUAGUUUAUUGAAGACUCAACAAGAUCACCAUCAAGAAUAGGUAUCCUCUACCUUUGAUUUUAGAACUUUUUGAUCAAUUGAAUCAAAUUAAGAUUUAUACGAAAAUAAAUCUACAAAGAAUCUAGUAUACAUUAAAAAAAAGAGAUGAAUGAAAAAUUACAUUUUAAAUCAAGUAUGGAUAUUUUGAAUAUAAUGUCCAUUUAUGGAAAUAGAUGAUAAAUUCCAUCAUGUAGUUUUUUAUUCCAAAUUAUUUUCAAUAUCUGAGAUUAAUUAUGAAAUCUAUAAAAAAGAUUUCCUUGCAAUCAUAGAUUCAUUUCAAGAAUGGUGUCAUUGUUUAAAAGGCAUUUAGAGUUCAAUCAUCGUACAUAAAAAUUAUAAGAACCUUAAGUACUUCAUGUUGGCACAUGUUUUGAAUUAUUGCCAAUCUCGUUACAAUAUGUCAUUAUCAAGAUUUGAUUUCAAGAUCACUUAUUAACUUAAAAAAUAACAAGAUUUUUUAGAUGCCCUUUCUAGAUGUUUUUAUCUUGUACCAAAAGAAGGAGAUGCAACUUUUAAUUAACAAAGAAUAAUUUUCUUAAAUUUGGAGUAUUUUUACCUUCAAGUAAUAAAAUCAAUAUUGAUUGUUGAUUCAACCUCUAUUAAGCAAAUUCAAUCAAGUAUGUCCAUUGAUCCUCUUAUCUAUGAUGUCAAGAAUAAUUCUUUUAUGUCUCAUGAUAUGUGAGUGUAAAAUUCCACCCGUCAAUCCAAAUUACAAGAUGGCCUCAAUUAAAAGUUGCUUGUAAUAGGUGGUAUGAAGUGGAAGUAACAACCAACAAGAACUAAAGAAGAAUAACACAAAACAAGUGAAACAAGUUCAAUCAAGCAAUUGUACUCUACAAAACGAGUCACAGUCUGUUCAUUGGAUUCUCACCUAGUAAAAAGUAAAAAUUAAAAGUAAAAAAUUAUAUUUUUAGAAAGUGAUUUUUUUUUUUAUCUUUUCAAUGAUGUAAAAAAUACAUAAAUCCGAGUUUCUAUGAGUAAGUUAUGAAGGAUUAAAAAUAACAAGUAACAAAUGGAAAGUUAAGUGAAAAACUUAUUAAUAGAUCAAAGGUUCGAACGUCACCAAGGCUCACAUGUAGUGUAUAUGGGUUGUCUAAAGAGGCCUUGGGGCCUUAGUCUUAUCUUCUUACCUACAUCCAAGGUGCUACAACCCAUAUGGAACUUGUGCAACUCCCUUCUUACAUGGACUAUACUAGGUGCUGGUCCUCCUAUUUUCUACUAGUAGAAUUAACUUUUUUGCAUUUUUGACUUCACCAUGGUGUUCAAAAACACCCAAUUACCCUGGAGACAUUGCGUGGCCUUCAAACCUUGCUCCAUUUCUUCAUAAUGGCUUCCCAAGUGGUAAAACUCAAUUUUACCAAGGUCUUGAAAACUACCCUAAAAAUUCAUAGAAAAUUCUAAAUAAAUUCUAAUUAAAUUCUAAAAAUUCCUAUAAUAUUUUUAUAACUCUAAUAUCUAUUUAAAGAUAUAAUUCCCUAUAUUGAUAAUUUUCUAUAGUGAUAAAAAUCAAUUUGAAUCUACUAAAAAUUCUAAAUAAUUUCUAAAUAAAUUCUAAAAAUUCCUAUAAUAUUUCUAUAAUGCUAAUAGAAAUUAAAGGAUACAAUUUCCUAUAUUAUUAAUUUUUUAUAGUAACGGAAUAAAAUUAAAUCUACUAUAAAUUCUACUUUCUAUAUUAAUAACUAAAAAGACAUGAGGUUCUUUCUCAUGCUUCUUUUAACUACUAACUAACCUUUAUAGUUUUUAUAUAAGUAAUACAUAUAGAUAUAAGAUCAAUAUAAAUAUUGAUUUUAGUUACUACUCCUUACUCUUCAAUAAUAAAUAGAAGUACUAAACCAACUAAAAUAAUUGCCUCCAAGACUUACUAAGACUCCAUUUCUUCUCCACUAAUAUUAUUCUUCUUUCUUUAACAUCUUCUAAGCAUAUUUUUACCUAAUAAUUAUAAUUUUGGCACUCUACAUGCACUCUUUUGUCCUAAAAAAACUAGUGAGUCAAUCUGAUGAUUCACAUGAUAUUUCUAAAUUUGAAUUAAAAAACAAACAACUCUAUUUUGAGACACAAUUAUACAUUCAAGAAGAUAGAGCAUGAUUAUAUGUUCUUCAAAUUUGUCAUGACUUUCCAACAACAAGAUAUUUUGGAUACAACAAGCUUUUAGAGCUAAUAUCGAGAGAUUUUUGGUGGUUUCAAAUAUGGAAGAGAAUCAAAGACUUUGUACAAUGUGAGCUAAAAUAAACCUCUACUAGUUGGAAGUUUAUUCUUGUUCAUAAUAAGUAAAUUAAUUAUUUAAUCCUUAGAAUUUUAGCUUUUAAUUAAAUCUUAAUCAAUUCUCUCUUAACCUCCUUAAAUCACUGAUGUCUGAGGCAAAAAUAAUCUCUAUUAAUUAGAAUUCUUCCUUACUCAAAACAUUAGAAUGAACGAUGCAAUUUUGACAAAUUAUAGCUCUUAUUGAAUCCAAUUUAAUUCACCCAAUAAUUCCUUAAUUUAUCCAAGUAAUCAAGUAAUUUCUACUAUCACUUCAUACAUAUAACAAUAAGCCAAUCCAAAAUAUUAUGCAAAUUUAAAAAUCAUCAUUACUACUAAUUUUAUUAAUUAAUUAUUUUAUUUUAUUAUUAUUAUUAUUAAUUUUAUUUUUUUAAUUUCGAAUUAACAUUUAUCUAUCAAUAAGAACUCAUCCUUGAAUAAUUAUUCAUCCAUAGUUAAUAAUUCAUUUAUGAUCAAAUAUUCAUCCAAAUCCUUAUUUUAUUUAUUUAUUUCUUAUUAUUACUAUUACAUAUUUUUUCAAAAAAUAAAAAAAUAAAAUAAAAACUUAACUUCUUCUUUCUAAACCUAAAUUCCAAUAUCUAACUUCCAUCACUUCGCAAGUGUGAUGACUUUGAGGAGGUAUGACAACCGAUCCAAUUUUGCUUGAAAGUCAAAAGCUGACUAUAGAGUGACGUGCCUCUCCACCUUAGAUCCCUUCCUACUAAGCAGCGACCUCCGUUGGGAGUAAUACAAGUCUCUCAAUGUCAAACUUCUUCUACCUAACUUCACAUGCAAGGAACGCUUUAAGGACUCGAUAUAGGAUUAUCUUGUAACAAUUCAGCAGCUUCCUACUUAGAGUUUUUUAAAAGAAUGUUGAGUAGCCAAGGACAAAAUUCCACCCCAGUGUCGUCUGCGAGUUCUUACGAGGACAAUGUGCCAUGGGUGCCCUUCUUGACUCAGUUCUUGUCGUAAGAAUCCCAAAAAUUUGAUUUCAUUCUUGAAUUUUGGUUGCAAAUAAUGUCUCCAUUCUAUUGAUAUAGGUGCUGGAGGACCACAUGCCAAUGUCAUGAGGAGCUUGGUGUAUGAAGCAAUACUUGCCACCUCGAUUUGCUAGUAUCAGAUUAACAAGAAUACAUUUAGGAUUGAGGGCGGGCUUUCGUGCAUCACUUUUAUCCAUUUUAUCGCUAUACAUUACAAGGCAAUCAACUCAACAUCAUGAAAUUCUAUUGGAGGUUACAUAUUUGCAAUUUAAUUUCUAUUUUUAUUUAAAAAUUCUACUAUUAAUUUUUAAAAUUUGUGGUUUUAAGCAUAAUAAGUAUAUUUUUAUACUAAAUAUUUAAGUGAGUCAAUUCAAUGAUUCAUAUACAAUCAUGUGAUAUUUGUUCAAGAUCCAAAAUUCCUUGCCAUUGAUAUAAUGAAUUUCUUCAGCCAUUAUAUAUUCUAGAACAAUCAUGGUCUUUUGUUUCUAUGGAUUUUGUUUCUAUGGAUCUUUCAAUCUUAGGUUUAUAUGAUUUCUAUAUUUGUGGUAGUAGAUCAUUUUAUCAAAUUGACAUAUUUUAUACCAUGUACAAAAUCUAUCACAAAUGAAGAAACAACUAAGUUUUUUCUUAAUAACAUCUAUUGCUAUCAUGAUCUCGAGGUAGAGAGAAUUUGCCUUAAGAAAGCAUUGGGCUUCCAGCUAUUACUAAUUACUUAAUCAAGCUUUAAGAUUAAAAAAAAUACCAAGUUCAUAUAUAAAAUUAUUCCUAUAGAGAUAAUUACAUCAAUACAUAGGCCUUAAGUAUCAAAGAUCACCAAAAAUGUAAUAAAAAUAUUAUAAAAACUUGCAUAUUCUUAAGGUGAAUUUUUUUUAAAUUUCAACAGUUUAUAUCUCACAAUUGGACUAUCUAAAAAAAUCCAAAUUUUAUAUGAAGUAGUGAUGUACUUAUAGCAACUACAACUACAAAUUUUAAUUACAAAUUCAUUAUUAAUUUUGAAAUAUUACCAAAAUUCUAAUAAUAGCUUCAAAUCCUUACUUAUGUAUCACUUAUGUAUAAAUUUCUUCAUAACUCAUAAGUUAAGUAUUCAAAUACUAUAAAAUUUUGAUGUUUAGCUUCUUCACUUAAUAACACUCAUUUUUAAAAUUUUUGAGCUAAGAAUUCAUCCAAAAGCUCAAGAUAUGGCUCCAACUACAACUAUCAACAAAAUGACUCACUUAUAGCCUUUGAAUUACAUAAACUAUCUUUAAUGCUCUAUUACUUCUUCAUACAAACUCCAAAUAGAAAAAAAAAAUUUACAAAAGACAAAGAUUUUAAAAUCAUCCUUGUGGUUGUACUUCUUGAUCUCCAAAAUCUAUCAUAAAACUUCUUGUAUUUUCAAAAAAGUAACAAUAUAUCUUAAAAUGAUACCUUAACUUCAAUUGGUAAUAACUUUAUCAUCCUAACUCCAAAUCUCCUAAAAAUUUUGUACAAAUUAUAGUUUAAAUCUUAAUACUUACAAAUCUUAUUUUUAAUUUUCAAAUAUUCUUUUUGAAGUCACCAAAAUCCUUGUUAUGGUUGCAAAUAACGUGCUCAAUGCCUAUUAGGUAUAGCCUUCAAUCAAUAGGGAUGAAGAUCUUUAUCUUUUGCCUUUCAUCCCUCUAAAUAAGUUACUUAGAGGUUUGAAUCUUUAUCAUUAAUCCUCAAUCUUUUCCUCAAAUUUUAUACUAAAUAUCUAAAUCUUAUAUAAUUUAAAUAUAAUAAUUAAUAUAAAUAAAUUUUAAAAUAAAUUAUCUUACAUCAACUCUCUUUAAAUUAACUUAUUAACCAUUCUAAUAUAUAUCAAUACUUAUAAAUAUAUUGUAUAUUUUAGUUAAUUUUUACAUACUAUAAACAAUUGAAAUAUGACAAUGGAUUGCUUAAAGAUAUUAUAUUGGAUAGGAGGAUUCAAUUUAUAUCAAGAUUUUGGAAAAUCCUUUUUAAGAUUUUAAAGGUGGAUAUAAAACAUUCUUCAAUUUUUCAUCCUCAAAAUGAUGGACAAACAAAAUGAAUGAAUCAAGUUAUAAAAUAGUAAUUGGUUAUUAGGUAAUUUUCUUUACCAAUUAUAGUUAUCAUCCACAACUUGAUAUUUUUUACUUUUUAAAAGUUGAUAAUGCUGCAGCAAAAGAUUUGGCAAAUUGAUUGUCAAAACUACAUGCAACAAUAAAGGCACAAUUAAAAGUAGCUCAAAAAUAAUAAAAGAUUAAUUUAGAUGCAUAUUACAAAGGACAACCACAAUUCAAUGUAGGUGACAAAGUAUGGUUACUUCUUCUCAAUAUCAAGACUUCUUAUUCUUGUGACUAGUUGGACUAUCAUAGACUUGAAACUUUUCAUAUUAAUGAAAAAAUCAAUCUUGUUGCUUAUCAAUUAUAUCUACCAAAAUCUAUGAAAAUUCACCCCAUAUUUUAUGUGUCUCUUCUUGAACCAUAUAAGAUAGUGAAUAUCUUAGAAAGAAGAUAAAUGCCACCUCUUCCUAUUCAAGUUGAUAAUAAUCUAGACUUUGAGGUAGAAGAAGUCUUAGAUUCAAGGCGGCACCAAAAUAGGUUGGAAUAUUAUAUUCAUUGGUGUAGAUAUGAUAUUAGUAAAUACACAUAGGAGCCAAUAAAGAAUCUUGCAAAUGUAAUAAAGAGAGUUGAAGCUUUUUUUAUCAAUGACAUCCAUCAAAACUAAGAUGAAGAAUAUCAAAUCUUUGCUAUAAAAGAAACAAGAUCCAAGGAAGAUAACACUCUACCUUCUAUCAUUUUUUUUAACUUUUAUGUAUUUGUAAUACUAAAGAGAUGGAGAAUCAAUAGCUAAUAGAUUCAACUCAAGAUCCAUCAUUUGUUGAUUUAUUAGAUAAGAUAUUGUGACUAUUACAAACUUCAAGACGACGUAUUAAAAAUAAAUAUUUUCAAGCAAAACAUGUUUUUUUUUUUGAAUAGAUGGUAAGAUACAAUACAUUUGAUAUCAUGUCCUAAGAAGAAAUUCUUGAUAUUUGGUUAUUUUAUUGAAAGUAGGAAUGAUUCUUGAUGGUAUUACAAAUAUUUUGUUUGAAGGAACUUAUAAAGGCUUCAACAAAGAUUAAAUAAUAAUAUAGUCUUUUUGUCCUAAAAUAAAAUAUUACUAAUGAUUAAGAAGAUGUAUCAACUACGUUCAAAGAAAAUAAAGAUUAGAGUAUGUAGCAAAUAUAAUUUGCCACAUCUUAGACUUCUUCAACAUAUAAUCACGACUCUUCAUAGAACUUGUUUCUAGAAGAAGGAAUAAUAUCAUGGAUAUAUAUCUAAUAUAACUAUUACUUAGAUAAUAUAAGUACGUAAAAGUAAAUAAAAAUAGGUAAUAAUAAAUUAAUCUUAUAAUAUCUUCUAAAGAAGCUAUUUAGAAGCUUUCUAGAUGUUUUUUUGACUUUACAUAUAUUUGUAGUUGAUUAGUAGGUAAAAACUUAGUCAAUAAAUUAACCAGGUGUUGGUAGCUUACAAAUCAAGCUAACUAUAUAGUACACAUAUAGAAAACUUGCUAUGGAAGAGUCACAGACAUACACAUGUAAGUAAGUAAUUACCUAUAUAAAUAGAUAGAAGUAAGUAAAUAUAAGUUAAUUCUAUAAUAUCUUCUAUAGAAGCUUCAUAGAUGCUGCUUUGAUUUUAUAGGUAUCUAUAAUUGAUUUUUUGGGUUAUAAAAGUAAUCAACAAGUUAGCCAUGUACCACACAUAUUGUUAGCUUGAAGAAUAAGCUAACUAUAUGGCCCUUAUGUAGAAAAACUUACCUUGUAAGUUAAGGCAUAUAUGCUAUAAAGUGAACACAUAUUAUAGUUUCUAUCGAACAUCGCCAUGUAAUCCUUAGUUAGAUAUUAUAUAUAGAGAGAAGAGUGAAGCCCUCUUCAUUCUUCUCAAGUCCUUUCUUGCUUCUAAUCUAGUUUCAAGAGUCUCAAGUUUCCUUAUUUUUUGGUAAUAAGCCAUUCUAAUUUCUUUUUAAUAUACGUACUUUUUUAUUUUUAUUUUGUUAUUCUUUCUUUGAUACGGAUUUCAUUGGUUUAUACAUCAUCUUUUAAUUCAUGUCUUUAACAGAUUGAUAAGAGUACACUUACAAUAUCAGAGCUUUGUCUUGUUUUGAUUAAGAGUAGAUUAUCUCUUUCUCAUGAUAAAACAUAAGCAUAUUAGAAGUUGCAGAUUACCCUUUUCUAAACUAAUAUUAUUCUUAGUAUUUUCUUUGUCUUCAAGUCCUUUCUUCUACUUCUCUUUUAUAGUAAUAGAUAUUUUUUUGAGUAUUAUUAUGGCAGAGCUUGUUGAAAUAAAGAGUGCAAUGGCACAAAUGCAAGAAAAAUUGAGAGAGUUGAUGUUGGCAAUGCAUCAACUUAACUUACCACCACAAAGAUCAAUAAGAAUGGUAGGAAGUGAGGAUAUAGAGAUGAUUAAAGCUGCUUCAACAUCUGCACCAAAUCAUAUCACUCUACCUAUGGUGGAACAUCCUUCAAGUGUUAAAGAAAAAAGAAUUACUUUGCUCAAGAAGUUUGAUGGUACAAAAACCAAAUUUUGAUGAUUUAUCAAUCAAGUAUAACUUGUGAUUGAACUUCAAUUUCAAAGCUAUCCAAGUCUACGAUCAAAAUUUAGAUUCAUUGAUACACUUCUUUCACAUUCAGUACUUUCAUGAUUUUCAUCUUUUUUUAAACAACAAGAUUCAAUAUUAAAUAAUCUAAAAGUAUUUUUGGUGGAAUUCCGAUCUAUGUAUGGAGAACAUAAUGCAACUCAUGUUGCAACCAACAAGAUCCAUAUUUUAUAAUAAAGCAAUCGAUUUGUAACAUUAUAUGCUUCAUAGUUUCAAUAACUUGUAACUAAUAUCAAGUGAAAUGAUACUACACUUAUUAGCCAAUUUUUCGAUGGAUUACAAUAUAAAAUAAAGAAAUUGAUGCCAAACUUUCUUGAUCUUCAAACUUUAAGUCAAGCAAUUGAUUUUGUUGUAAAAUAUAACAAUCAACUUUUUGAAUUUUGAUCUGAGAGUCGCAUAAAUGAGCUUCAAUAUUAUCACAAUUCAAUGGCAAAACCAACAUCUCCUCAACACAAACAUUCAGAAAAAGAGGAUAUGCAAAUUGAUAUGGGAUGUUUUAAAUCUCUUGUCAAGCAAGAAAAGACUCAAUACCAUCAAGAAGGAUUAUGCUUAUUAUUUGGAGAACCUAAACACACUGCUCAACAUUGUCCAAAGAAGCAAUAAAAUUACAAAAUGAAGAGCGUAUUUGUCAAAGAAGACAAUGUGUUAGAAAAUGAAUUUGUCCAACUAUAAUAGAGACCGUGUGGCUGGAAUCUUGUAAAUUUUUUGAUGAAGGUCCUAUCCUCUCUUCAAAUCCUCUCUUUAUUUUAUAAUAGAUGUGCAUUUAGGACCUAAUAAUUAUAAAGCCUCUACCUUAAUAGAUUUAGGAGCCUCACCUUCUUUCUUAGACAUAAAAUUUGUUAAAAAUCAUAAAAUACCAUUAGUAUGAAAAACCAAACUUGUUCAUGUAGAAUUCAUAGAUGGUCGUCCAUUGUAUCUUGGAAAUGUUACUCAUAAAACACUUCCUAUAGAUAUAUCAAUAAAUGGUCAUAGUAGUUGUAUAAUCUUUAAUAUAAUUAGAUCUCCUUCUAAUCCAGUCAUUUUAGGUUUAUCAUGGUUAAAAAAGUAUAAUCUUUAUAUAGAUUGGAUUUCUUGUAUCCUUGACUUCAAUAAAAGUAUAAUUAAGAGUAGAAUUAAUCAAGAAGAAAGUCAUAAGUCUAGUGUAAUUAAAUCUAUGUUUAUAGGUGCAAGAGCUUUCUUGCAUGCUGCAAAAGAAGGAUCACCUUAUGUCAUUUAUGCCACACCUAUUUCUAAUGAUGCAAAGACUUCAAGAGGCAUUCCUAGAUAAUAUUAAGAAUUUCAAGAUGUAUUCGAAAAGAAGAAUGCACAUGCUCUUCUAAAACAUAGUCCCUAUAGCUGUUGAAUUGAACUUCAAGAAAGAGCACAACUACUAUUUGGACCAAUCUAUAGUUUAUUACAAAAUAAAUUGGCUAAAUUCAAGGAAUAUAUUGAAAAAAAUCUGACAAGAAUUUCAUAUGCUAUUCCAAAUCACCAACAACAGCUCCAAUCUUAUUUCUUAAGAAGAAAGAUGGAUCAUUAUGGAUGUGUGUUGAUUAUUGAGGACUCAACAAAAUCACCAUGAAGAAAAUGUAUCUUCUACCUUUGAUAUCCGAACCUCUUGAUCAACUAAAUCAAGUUAAGAUCUAUACAAAAAUAGAUCUACAAAGAGCAUAUAAUCUAGUACGUAUUAAAGAAAGAGAUAAAUGAAAGACUACAUUUUGAACUAGAUAUGAACAUUUUGAAUAUAACGUCAUGCCUUUUGGUCUUACAAAUGCACCAGCACCUUUAUGAUAUCUAAUGAAUGAUGUUUUUUGAGAGCUUUUAGAUGAUUUUGUUGUCUAUUAUCUAGACAACAUCUUGAUCUAUUCUAAGAAUAUAGAUGAACAUGAAAUUUAUGUUCAUUGUGUAUUAAAAAAAUUAAAAGAUGCAUGACUCUAUACCAAGAUAAAAAAGUAUAUAUUCUACACUACUUAAGUUGACUUCUUAAGAUACAUCAUUUUGAAUGAUGGACUUAUGAUGGAUCCUAAAAAAAUUUAAACGAUUAUGGAUUGGAAGAUUUCAAAAAUGAUAAGAGAUGUCCAAUGCUUUUUGGGCUUUGCCAACUAUUAUCAAAUCUUCAUCAAAGAAUUUUCUUGAGUUGUAGCUCCACUUAUAUGUUUGACUUAUAAAAACAAACUUGAGUGGAGCAAAGAAGCUGAAGUAUCUUUUGAAACUUUAAAAUCAGCCUUUAUUUCUGUACCAAUUUUAUAUCGCAUCAACUUUUGUGAGUCACCAAGUUGACUCACUUAUUGUUUUAGGAUAAAAAUAUGCAUUUAGAAUGCUUUAAAUCACAAUAUAUAGUGAGUAGUAUAAAAAUCCUUUGAGAAAUAGAAAAUUAGAAUGUUAAUGGUGGAGAUGGAAUCUUAAUAAGUCUUAGAGAUAAUUAUCUUUGUUGGUUUAGUAUUUUUAUUCAUUAUUGAGUAUUAAGGAUUAUUUAUUAAGACCAAUAAUUAUAUUAGUAUUCUAUCUAUAUGUAUUAUUUAUAAAAACUAUAAAUUUUAGUAGUUAGAAAAAGCAUAAGAAAGCACCUCAUGUCAUUUAAGUUAUUGAUAUAAAAAAUAGAAUCUAUAGUAGAGUUAAAUUAAUAUUUAUUAUUAUCAAAAACCACAAAGGUAGGAAAAUAUAGCCUUGCAUGGAUAUUAGAAUUAUAGAAAUAUUAUAGGAUUUUUCAAAUUUUAUUUAGAAUUUAUUUAUAAUUUUUUAGGAAUUUUUAGAGCAAUAUUUAAGAUUUAGGUAAAAAUGAGUUUUAUCACUUCGGAAGCCAUUAGGAAGAAAGGGAGUAAGAUUUGAAAGCCACUAUAAGUUCCCAAGCUAAUUGGGUAUUUUUAAACACCAUGGUGAAGUCAAAAAUAUAAAAAAAAUGAGUUUUACUAGUAGAAAAUAGGAGGACCAACAACUAGUCUUGUCGUUGUAGGAAGGAAGGUGUAUAAGUCCUAUAUAGGUUGUAGCACCUUGGAUAUAGGUAGGAAGAUAAGACUAAGGCCUCAAGGCCUCUUUAGACACCUGAUAUACUCUACAUGUGAGCCUUGGUGAGGCUCGAACCCUUGACGUAUAAGCAAGUUAUCCUUGAGGUAAAACAUUUUCUCUUAACUUUUAUUUAUUUACUUAUUGUUUUUAAACCUUCAUAACUUACUCAUAGUAACUCGGAUUUACAUGUUUCUUACAUCAUUGGAAAGCUUAAAAAAUUAACUUCCUAAAAAUAUACUUUUUACUUUUACUUUUUAUUAGAUAAAAACUUUGUGAACCGACUAUCACCGAGUUUUGGAGUGUGUAUUUGCUUGUAUACAUUCCUUUCACUUAUUUGUGUUGUUUCUUCUUUUGUUCUUGUUCAUUGCAUCUUCCACUUUACACUACCUAUUAUAAGCAUUUCUUAAUUGAGGCCAUCUUGUAAUUUGGAUAGAGGGGUGAAAUUUACACUCACAUUUUGGUGCGUUUGCCGGGAGAUGGUGCUUCUAAUGGUGUAUGUGAAUGUGAAGUUUGCUUGUUGUGAUUGAUCUUGGUUGGUUUUGUUGAGUGAGGAAUUCAAGUAGCUCAUCAUUAGCAGUAAUUAUUCUUCAUCUCUUCCUUAUUGGGGUAAGCAAAGCAUUUCUAUUUCUCAAUUUAGAAAAUAGUCACAAAUUUCAUUGUUAAGUUAGAUGUUGAUUUGCUCCCGGAUUAUUGUCAAUAAAUUUUUGGGUGUUUGAUAUUUGUAGUUGAAAAUUUGGUAGUUUAUGUAUCUUGCUGUUAGCUUUCUAAAAAUUUAUUAUACGCUCAAUUUGGAGCUAUAACGAAUUUGUGGUGAAUUUUCGAACACAAGAGGAUUCACUGCCUUAGCAGUUUCAUGUAUCCUGUCUUAUACAAGGCAUUUCUUAGUGCCGGGUAAUUAUUUUACAGUGAAAAUUUCUAGGUACAAGGACUUAAAAUUUGGAGUUGUAGUGGUGCAAAAUUCAAUGCUUUUGAAUCAAAAUUGAAUUUGUAGCGACUUCUGGAGGAGAGAGAGGUUGCUGCCUUGAGCAAAUACAAUUGAGGUUAGUGAUUUCUACCUCUUCAAUCAUUUACAUUGUUGAUUUUAUGUUAUGCUUUUAAAUUUUGUGUUUUAUAUUUUCUCUCAACUAUAAAUAAUAAUAAUAAAAAUAAAUAAAAAUAUAAAAUAAAUAUAAAUAAAUAAAUAAAUAAGAAUAUUAAAUAAAAUAAAUAAAAUAUAAUAAAAUACUAAUAAUAAAUAAUAAUAUAAUUAUUAAAAUAAAUAAAUUAUUUUAUUAAUAAAAAUUAAAAUAAAUUGAUAUUUUAAUUAUUUAGAAUAAGUAAAAAUUAAAGUAAAAAAAUUAAAGUAAAAUUUAAAAUAUCAAUUUAUUUUAAUUUUUAUUAAUAAAGUAAAAAAAUAUAUUUUUAUUUUUAUUCUUAUUUUUUCUUUUAUUUUAUUUUACCUUAUUUUAUUUCAUUUUUUUUCUUUAUUUUUAUAUUUACUUGCCUUUUAUCUUAAUUUUUUUUUCAAUUUUUACUCUUAUUGUUAUUUAUUGAUAUUAUUUUUCUUUUUUAUUAGAUGCAUUAUAAGUUUUAUAUAUUGACUUAAGUCUAGGAUGUUUUUAAUUAUUAAUUAAACUAUUUUUUAUGCAAAAUUAUUAUUCCUAACCUUAAAUAAUAUUGGAUUAGUUUAGUAUUAGUAUUAGCAUUAUGUGGUGGUUUUCUUAGGAUUGCUUGUCACUUCCUAAGCAUCAAAGGCGGAGGUCGUCUUCAAAAUUUCAUCACUCCCUCUUUUUAUAAAUUUUCUAGUUUAGGGCCUUUCUCUAGUGAUAGGGAGAUUUAAUCACUCCCUCCACCUCUUGUACCAUCUCUUUGCAUCUUUGUAAAUUUCCAAUGGAGGACCUUUCUCUAGUAGUAGGGAGAUUUAAUCACUCCCUCCACCCCUCAUAUCCCUUCUAUUCAUAGGAAUAAUGUAGAAAGAGUUUAAGUAGAAUUCAAAAAAAUUCUAUAUCAACAAAAGAAAAAAAGAUUCAAAAAGAAGAAAUAGGUAGAAGGAUUAGAUAGAAGGAGUUUAGAACAAGUAAAAAAAAAAAAAAAAAAAAAAAAAAAAACCAAUAAGUUCAAAUUAUAAUCCAAGAUGAGUAUAUUUUUAACAAAAUUUAUUUAGUUUCAAAUUUAUUUUGCUAACACAGAUUAUGGUUUGAGGAAAAGGAGCAUAAGAAGAAAGGAGAAAAAUAUUAAUAGCUUACAACCAAGUAAGUCCUUAAACUUUGUCAAUUAUGCUUUCUUUGAAAUUUUAAAAAAUUACUUGAAUACAAGAAGCAGGAGCUAAGAAUUGGAGGGUAGAAUCUAAGAGGAAGACACAAGAGAAGUAAGUUUCUAAUCUCUCUUGUAGAUAUAGAUGGGAGAAGAUAGAUAGAACUUUUAAUCCAUUAUCUUUAAACCUUAAAUCCUUACUUAAAAUGUUUAGUCGAGAUUGGCUAAGAAAGAAGUCACAUAAUCUAGAAGUUUGUUAACAAGUGAUAAGUUUGCUAGAGAUGUAACUAGGUGAGUUCUUCUUCAAUGUGGUAUGAAUUAUUUGCAAGGAAUUAUUUUUUUAAUGUAAACUUUGUUGUUAACUAUUAUAGUAGAUAAUUCGUUAACUAUCUUAUUGUAAAAAAAAAAAAAAAAAAAAAAAAAAAAACUUGGGCUCCUUGCCAUCCUUGUAUAGAAUUCUUUUUCACAACUAAGAUUGCUUAAGGUCACUCUUACACAACAGUAAUUUUGUAUAAUAAUUAAAAUUAUAAAUAGUCCUACUUAGGGUGAUACUUAAGCAAGCAUUCCUCCUUUAGUUGUUUUUCUUUUCUUUCCCUUCUAUGUCGGAAGGUACUAUAAGUGGAUUGCAGAUAGAAGAGCCAAAAUAUUUUAAUUGGAUUUUGUAGAGAUAAGUAUGUUUAAAUUAUGAGUCUAAGUAAAUUUUAUAUCAAUAAUCAUGUUAGAUGUAUCAUUCCACUAAAUCUAGACAACCUAAAAUAGUCCCAUCCAUUGAAAAUCUGGAGAAGGCUAUUCAAAAAUCUACACCACAAUUUAGAAGAAUUGAGGUCCAAAAAUUAGAAAAAGAAGAUUUACCUAUAACAUCACAAGACAUAUUUGUAAUGAAUCCAUUGGAAUUAAAUCCUAACCAAGUGGUAGGAGAAAAAAGGUUGAAUCAUAGAUCUCUUAAUUUUUUCCUGAGAAUAAAUCAAGAAGGAAAAGAGUCAAGACCUAGUUUUUCUUCAAUGGAUUACGGAAGAGAAGCCUUUCCAAAUUCUAUACCCAUAAACCUUUUGGUUCAGCGAAGAGGUUUGCUCAUUGUAAUUCCAGAGGGAUUGCAAGUACCUCCUAUGUCCUAUAAUCUCUCUAUAUUUAAAGGGACUAGAGACGAUGAUCUAUUGGUAUACGUGGAAAGAUUCAUAGAACUUCUUAUGACAUGUUUAAUAACCAAUCCCAUGUUGUAUUGUGGUUUGGCUACCAUAUGAAAAUAAUAUAAUUAUUUACUUAAUAUAUAAUUUACUAAGUAACAUGGUGAGAGCCAUGUUAAUAGAUUUUAGUUGGUUGUAGAAUAUAAUUUUAUUAUUAACUUGAAAAGAGGUUGUUUAAAAAGAUUACUAUAAAAUUUAUAUAAUUUUAAUUUCUUUUUUGAUAGUGGGUUUUAAGAUUGGUUUUGGUUGAUAAUAACUUCUAAAUAAUUAGAGUCAUCAUUCUUAGACAUUGGUGACAUUUGAAAACUUAUUUUGAUUCUUUUAUUUGGUGUUUAGAGUAUAAAUUAUAUAAAUCUUAGAAGAAAAGGGAUUGAAGAAGGAUUUUGGUAGAAAAGGGAGUAAUUAGGGCACCAAUAUAGAUGAAUGGAGAUAGAUGAUGAAAAUCUCCAUUCGUAUUGGUCAAAAAUCAUGACCAAUAGGCUUUGAGGAGGCUGCCCGAGGCCAUAUUAGGGAUUAGGAUUAGCUUUUCGGGCCAUUGGAGCUCUGAAGGCUAGGGUCAGCAAGUUUAGGUUUUUGGCUAUGGUUUUGGUGCAAAUUUUGUAUGGUUUGGAGUUUAUAUGAAGGAGAUAUAGGCUCUCAAAGUUAAGGUGUUGAUUUGGGAGCUACUAUCACUCGUUUUGGCAUAACACACGAGUACAGAUGGCAAUUGAGGAUCAAUGACUGCGACUAAAGAGACUACUUUUACAGCUAUACUUUUUGCAUAUCACUUGCUGAAUUCCAAGUUGAAGUAAAGGAGUUAUUGGAUUUUGAAGUUAGCACAUGCAAUCUAAGGGUAGUAAUGACCCAAUUUACUAGUCAUUGUGACUUGAGCUAUAUCUUGAGCAAUUUGACAAGGUUUUGGCUCAAAAUUUUAGAGAAUAUGUAUAUUCAUAUUAGUAAAAUUUUUAUGAAAGUUUGAUGACAUUUGAGUAUUGAAUUCUUGAGAUAUUAAGAAAAUAGUACUCAGGUACUUGUAAAUUAGGGUUUAGAGCGUCUACUAGGGUUUCUUAGAUACUAAAAGUUUGGAAGUGAAUUUAUAGUUGGUUUUUUUUUGGUAAAAGCUAAGAGUGAAUUCUAACUAUCUUUUAAAUGUUAGACAAAUUAAACAGUUAGAUCAAGAGUUAUGAAUUUCUAAAGUUCAAGAAAAAAAAUUCAUUCGUGGGAAAAAUAUGUUUUGAAGGGAUUUUGUUAUAUUUUAAGUUUUAUACAAAAUAAAGGAGUUUUGGAAGCUAAAAAAAGAUUCAUAUAAAGAUUUAAGCUAAACUAUCUACAAUAAGAUAUCCAAUGUAUUUCUAAAUAGCAAAUCACGCUAUACGACAAACUUGGUGAAUCCGAUGUGAAAAUUUCUAGAGUAGAGAGUUUUGAAGAAAUAUUUUGGCUUUCUAAUAUAGAAGGAGGGUAAGAGAGUGGUAGUAGGGAUUGCACUAGGAUAUCUUCAUUGCAAUUUGAUCCUACUACAAUUCAAAUUUUUCAAGUAUUUAUGUUUUUUAUGCAACAACAAUAAGUAGUGGAACACAAGUAAGUAAUGGCUAUUGAAGCCUUGUAAUCUAUUAUUGGUUUAUUAGAUCAAUUUGAUGGAAGAAAUAUUUCUAAGUAUCUUAAGUAUUAUUCUUAGAAGAUGGAGCUCAAUAAAGUGUCGAAGAAAGAUAUGAUCCUAACAUUUGAGCUUGCAGUUGUACUAGAGCUUUGUGAGCAUAUAAGAGGGAUUCUUCAAACUCAUGGAGAGAAAUAGGAGGAUUUUAUCCUUCAGCUAAAAGAAGAGUAUUCUUUGGAAGAUACAGAAAGGAUGACAAGAAAAUUGUUUAUGAAAUGGGUUAAUAAAUCCAACAAGGAAUUGGUUGCAAUAGAGUUAUUCUGAGAAUUUGAAAGACAAUUUCUUCAAUUGUCUUGAGUAGAAAAGCUUACACUUGAAAAUGAUAAGAUAGAGUUAUUUCUUCAAUUAACUAGCAAUGAUUUACAAAGAAAUUUGGAAUUACUAUUGAAAGAUAAUAGAGAGGACAAUGGACAUACUAUUGAUUAAAAGAAAGUCUUUGAAGUUGUGGAAAUACUUGCUAAAAGAGAGUACCGAAGGGGUAAGGUGGUAGUAAGGCAAGAGACUAGACCUCCAUCAACUACAAUACCUUGUAGACAACUGCCACAACUUGCUAUACUAGUAAGUACUAUUCCAAUUCCUAUGUCUAUAGUUACACCAUAGAAAGAUGCGAUUGAUGAGUUAGUAAAAGGAAUGAAAGACUUACAAAUCAAAUUGGCAAAGCUAAAGGAAAAAAAAUGAUUACUUGAGAUCAAACCUGCAUCAAAAUAAGGAUAUAUACAAAGAUGUAUUUGGUGUGAUAGUAUUGAGCAUUCUCACAAGGAAUGUAGAGAUUCUACUAAUAUUUUGUGAUAGUUAGUAAUUUUAUGGAAAGAUGGAAAAAUUGCGUUGCGAGAUAGAUGUGAGUUUCUCAAAACCAAUUUUGGAAAAGGAGGGAUGAAGAAGGUUUUGGAAGAGCAUUUAUCACAACAAGCUAUGGCAUCAAGUGAGGCUAUUAUUUAUGGCAUUGAGGCUAUAAAGAAGAAGGAGGAUAUUUUUGACAAGCAUGUAAAUACAAGGGAUCUAUAGAAUCAUGCUAUUAUCAGCAUGAAUAAAGAAAAAAAUAACAAGACAAGAAUUACUUAAUACAGCCACAAUAAUUAGAAAUGCCACAAGAUAGGAUGACCUUUAGAUACUAUGUCUGUACAUGCUUAUUUGGUAAAAUCCUAACAUGAAGCUCUAAUAGAGGUAAAAAGAGAAAGAAAUGAAAUAGAAAAAAAUUUUGAAGAGCCAACCAAUAAGAAGAGAUCUCAAAGGCAUAUAAAAAUAAUACUAAAUAAAGAAAUACUUAUACUAUAAGCUAAUAGACCAUCAAGGGCUCGGCCAUCGACAUUGCACCCUGAAAAUGCACCACUGCCUAAAAAAAAAUGGAAAGAAAGGAUAGAGGUUGAUAAAGACAAAGGAUAGAGUAAGCAUAUUACUUAUAAGCUACAAUCACAUAUUGAGGUAGCCACAAAUUUGAAAGGAGUGUUGGAAGAAAGAGUAUUAAAUGCCAAAAUUGAGUGUUGGAAGAAAGAGUAUUAAAUGCCAAAAAAUAGUAUUAAAUGCCAAAAUUGAGUUUCAUGAUGUCAUCAUUGACACCAUUAAGUGAAAGAGGUAAUUGACAAGAAAAUUUGAUAUAUCUAAUGCUUUAGAUACAAUCUUGACUAAAAAAGAAGAACAUAAAUUGGCAAAAUUUUGUACCAAUAAAAAGGUACAAUUUGAUUUGGAUAAAUACAAGGAUAUUGACAAGGGCCUUGGACACUAUAUUAAGGGAUAUUGGGCUAGAGCCACUACAGAGACUUUAGUAGAAAUGAAAGACUUAGUAGAACCAAUAAUUAUUCUUAUUGGCAAUAGAUUUGAAAUUAAUAUUAUGUCAAAAGAAGUCUACAAAUGUAGAAGGUGGUCCAUUGAUAUUAACCAUGGUUGAGUGAUUUUGGCAGCAAAUAAUAUACAUGGAGAUCUUUAUGGUGCUUGCCCAAAUGUAAAGAUAAAAAUUGGAGAUGUGACCACAACACAAUUUUAUUUUGUUCAAGAUACUACUUCAUACCUAGUGAUUCUUGGUCAACCAUAUAUUAUGGCUGUGAGGAUGGAGACGAAGAUUUUCGAUGAUGGAUCAGCAUGUGCCUGUAUGAGAAGUCAAGAUAGAAAAAGAGCAGUGUAAUUUCUAAUAGUACCUACAAACCAUAAGCACAAUCAGGAUUAUUUACUAAGUGAUUUAUUACCAAGGGUUAGUGAAGAGUUUACAAAUUUUUACAUGGUACCACUAUAAAGCAGGAAUAUAGUGGUACAUCAAUGAAGGUACUCUCGUAUGAAAAAAAAAAGUACCUUUUGUACAAGUGUUGUAGAAUUAUCUAAGAAUGGAUUUGCUAUCUAUACACAAUUUAAUGAUCUAUCAAAGUGGAAGAAAAAAGUUAUACAAAAAUCUGAAAAAGACCUAAAAAGAGUAGGUGUGCUUGAUAUAGAUGAUAAGAUAGUAGGUGUAUAUAUGGAGAGUGGUUUAAAAGAUUUUAUGGAAGAACUUUUAGAAGUUGAAUAAGAAAAUGAAGAUCAAGUGGUGCAAGUACAAUCAAGAGAGCUCUACUCAAGUAUACAAGCAUUUCAAGAUUAUGAAGUCAAAGUUAAAACUAGGUAUAAACCUGUGGAGAGGAAAAUAAAACUUGUAGCUAUACCAUUACCUAGUGAUUCUAAUGAUCAAAUUCAACAAGCUUUGAAGGAGAAGGGCUUAUAGGAUCCUAAAGAAAUUCGCCACAAGUUUAUCAAGAACACACUCAAUGAAUUGAAAGUAGGAUCUAUAAAUUUUCUUUUACCUGUUGAAGAAAUAGAAUUUAGAAAUAUAUUAAGUAUGCAUAGAAAGGCUUUUGCUUUUGAAUCCUUAGAAAUUAUGUGUGUCAAUCUAAGUGUUGUGGCACCAAUGAUUAUAUUUGCAGUUCCACAUGUUUUUUGGGAUUUAAGACCAAUUUCAGUACCUAAAGGGCAUCUACCUAAAGUUAUAGAGAUUUUAAAAGAAAAGAUGUAAAUGAAGAUCCUAGAACCAUCAUUUGUACUAUAUUUUAGUCGUUGGUUUACAGUACCAAAGAAAAAUGGAACACUAUGGUUCAUUCAAGAUAUGCAACCAGUGAAUCAAGUGACCAUUAGAAAUACCGGGUUGGACCAAUUAUUGGAGAAUUUGCUAAGGCAUUUGUUAGUAGAGCUAUUUACUCUAUUGGAUAUCUCUAUUCUAGAUAUGAUCAAUUUCAACUAGCUGAAAGAAGUAAAGAUAUCACUACUUUGAGGACACCUUUAGGAUUGGUUAGGAUGUGUACAUUGCUACAAGGAGCAACAAACUCAGUAGCUUACAUGAUGAAUGGGAUGAAUAAGGUUCUUUGUGAUUUCAUUCCAAAAAAGACUAUGCCCUUCUUGGGUGAUAUUUCAAUAAAAAGGUGUGUGGAAGAAGAAAAAAAUGAAACAAUGGAUCAAAAGAGGUGCCAUAAAUUUGUAUCUAAUUAUAUUUCACACUAUGAAAAAAAUUUAUCUCGACUUGAAGAGGUUCAUUUGACACUAUUAGGAGCUAAAUCUACCUUUGGAGUUUGAAGAGUUGUUAUUGUGAGACAUUUACGUAGGUGGUUUGGUUGCAAACCUGAUUCUAAUAAGGUGGAUGUCAUAUAAUGGAUGAAAGAUAUUUGUAGCUCACAAAUAGAGGUAUGGAGGAUUUUAGGAGCUUGUAUAUUUUAUUAUGUAUCAAUUCCUCAUUAUACACAUGAAGUUGAUCCUCUUUAUUGUAAGUUAGAAAAAGGGUAGAGAUUUAAAUGGGAGAAGAAGCACACAGAAAAAAUUCAAAAGCUAAAGCAAUUAUUAUCUUCCCUACCUAUAUUAUGAAGGAUAAGUUAUGAAGAUGGCAAAUUUGUGAUACUUACAAUCGAUACUAGUCCAAUAACUGUUGGUUGGACUUUAGGAAAAAAUGAUGAAGAAGAUAACAAGUUUGCUAUUAGAUUUGGAGCUAAAGUAUUAAGUGAAUAACAAAGAAAUUAUCCACAGCAAUUCUAGGAUACAACAAGGAGAGGAUGAAUAUCCAAGACCAUUUACAAAAGAAUUAUAUGAAGAAGAAUGGAUUGAUAUUGGACACUAUUUAAGCACAUUAUCAAGACAAUUAAGAUGGAGUGAUACUCAUUUCAAACAGAUUAGAUGGAAGGCUUACAACUACCUCUUACAAGGUGGUUACCUAUGGAAGCGAUGCAAAUGAGAUAGUAGAAUGCUACAGAGAGUAGUUUGUAAGAAAGAGAUGCAAGAACAAUUAAUCCAUGAAUUCUAUGAUAGUUUGUGGAUUGGACAUAGAGAUAUUUAUACCACCUUUAACAAGCUCAAAAAAAAAUAUUGGUGGCAUUGUUGUAUUGUAAUUUAUUCAUAGUAUAAAAAUAAUGGUUAUUAUAUUGAUAUUAUUUAAUAAUGACCUUAGAAAAUAAUGAAUUAUUUUCUAUAGAAUUUCAUAGUUUAUAGAAAUCUUAAAUAACUUGUAUAAAUUUUAUAAGUAAAAGUAGAAGUAUUAGGGUUAUUUAAUAUGAAAGAUGUAGAAAGAUAUGAAUAUUGAUAUUAUAGUAUUGUGGCCUUAGGCCAUCUACGUGGAUAGAUAAGGCAAGGACAAGAGGAUCUUCACUCUCAUUGGCUAUAGGUCAUGACCAAUAAGCUUCAAUGGACUGUCUAAGAGAUAACUGAAGCAGAGGCUACUUCUUCAUAGGGAAUUCGAGGGUUUAGAGGAGAGAUUCAAAAAUCUUGUGUUUUGGGCUAUAAUUUUGGUGUAUAAAGUUUGUUAUUUGAGUUUUGUAUGAAGAAGUUAAGGUUGUUUGAAGUUAGGAUGUGAAUUGUUUAUCGACUAUCACUCUUUUAAGCAUACAGAAAGUUGUAGAAGGAGUUUUAGAAAACGAAAGGUGUCGUUGGAAAGCUGGUUUGAAAGAAUACAAUUUUUGUGAAGGGAUUAUUAAUUUUGAGUCUACAAUAAGAGAGUUAUGGCUGUUUAAAGUCUGGAUGUGAAAUUUGUACCUACUAUCACUCUUUCAAGCAUACAAAGAGUUAUAGAAAGGCAUUUAAAAAUCAAAAAGUGGAGUUGGAAAGUUGACUUAAAGGGCUUCAAUUAUUGUAUAUGAUUUGAUAAAAAUAGAUCUGAAGUGAGAAAGAAAUGGCUAGUCGAACUCAGAGCUUGCAAAUUAAGGAAGUAAGUGAACAAAAUUGUUGAUGGUUAUGUUUUGAGCCAUUUUUUUUGAGAAUUUUUUAAUUAAUUUUGGCUCAAAUUUUCCAAAGUUGUAAUUAUAAUAUUGAGAAGCUACACAAAAAAAAUUCAUGUCAUUUAAGUAUUGGAUUUGUAAGAAAUUGCAAAAUCAGUAUUUAGGUGUUUGUAAGUCAACAUGUAAAGGCCGUGCUACUGAAAUUGUGUUAUCUAGAGUUUUGUAAUGAAUCGAUAGUUGAAAAUUGGAUAUAAAAGAGUUAAGUAUACUGCCUUACUUCUCAGAUAAUUUGAGCUCAAUGUAAUGGUUGGAUUGAUAAUUAUCAAAUUUUAAAUUUCAGUGCAUCGAAGAGAUUCGGUAUUGAAGGAAUUUUGGUAUUACAAGGAUUAUACUACCACAAAAAGGAUUUUGGAAAUUAUGAAAGAUUUAAAAAUUAUUGAUUGAUUUUACUAUUAUUGGAGGUCUAGUAAUUAUUAUUUAUUGCUACAAAUUUUACUAUUAUUGGAGGUCUAGUAAUUAUUAUUUAUUGCUAUAACUUUUACUAUUAUUAGAGGUUUAGUAAUUAUUAUUUAUUGCUAUAAUUUUUACUAUUACUAGAGGCUCGAUAAUUAUUAUUUACUGCUACAACUUUUAUUAUUACUGGAGGUCUGGUAAUUUUUAUUUAUUGCUAUAAUUUUUAUUAUUAUUAAAGGUCUAGUAAUUAUUAUUUAUUGCUACAACUUUUACUAUUACUAGAAGCUUGGCAUUUGAUGUUUAUUGCUACUAUGUUUAAUAUCAUAGAAAGGAAUAAAAAUAAAAUUAUAAAUAAUCUUGGAGUAUUUUUCAUCUUAUGAUUAAUUGAGAAUUUAGUAUCAGCCAAAAGUCCAAUGCUUUCUUAAGGCAAAGUCUCUUUUUUCCAAUAGUGUAACAUAUAUAGAGAUGUGGUGGAGUUUGUAGAAUCAUGCCAGACUUGUCAGAUAUACUCGAAGAUUCAACAUAGCGAUGGAUUGCAACCUACAUAUCUACUUGCAAUACAUUAUAAAUAGAUUGUAGACCUAGUUACUAUACCUAUAGAAAUAUGGCAAAUACAGUACUUGGCUCUGGCAUGAGAAGAUUUAUCUAACCAAGUAGAAGAAAGAGCUCUACGAACAAAAUCCACUAAAGGAGUUUGUAGAUUUUUACUGGAAGAUGUGAUUUGUAGAUAUAGAUGUAUUAGAAAAAUUACUCCUGAUUUUAGAGAAUUGGAUGCACAUAAUGCUAGAUAAUUCUUUGAGAGAUGUGGAGUCAAGCUAGCACUUACUACAUCUUAUAAUCCGAAAGGUAAUGCUAAGAGUGAGCAAGUUCAUAUUCCUAUUGUAAGGACCAUUGUUAAAGCUUACAAAGGAAGAGCAAGAGAAUGGCCAAGGUUGUUACAAUUUGCUCUUUGGACUGAUCAUACUACUCACAGUUCAGUGUCAGGAUAUAUGCAAACAGAGUUAAUACAAGGACAGAAGUCCAUUAUACCAAUUAAAGAGAAAAUACCUACUUGGAGUAUCUUACCUUGGCAAGACAAUAUAUCUAAAGAAGAACUUCUUGUACUUCGAAUUUAUCAAUUAGAGAGAAGACCUCAAGAUGUAGAAAAAGUAAUUAUAAGGCUGAGGGAGUCGCGCUUGAAGAGUAAAGAUAGAUUUGCUAAGCGACACAAGUUGAGUCCAAAAGAUAUUCAAGAAGGUGAUUGGGUUUUAGCAUAUGACAACAGCUUAGAUAACUAACAUAGUACUCUUAAAAAGUUUCCUAAGUAUUGGUUUGGAUCUUAUGUAGUUGUACAUGUUUUGGAUAAUGCUACACAUGUAUUAAAAGAAUUAAAUGGAACAAGAUUCAAAAUUCAGAUUGCAGAAAAACGUAUAAAACUUUUCAACAACUAGAUCAAGAACUACUCUUUGAAGAUGUUGAAGAAGAGUUUGAUCUAUCUAGGUAUGAAGAAGAAGAAUUAGAUUUUGAAGAAGACAAUAUUAAGGAAGUAAUAGAACGCCGACCACAACUUUGGUUCUUCUUGGUACAUAUCGAAGCAUGCAUAGGUUUAGAGGAGGUAGAUAUCAUGUUGGGGUUCGGCUACCAUAUGAAAAUAAUGUAAUUAUGUACUUAAUAUAUAAUUUAUUAAGUAACGUCGUGAGAGCCAUGUUAAUAGAUUUUAGUUGGUUGAAGAAUAUAAUUUGAUUAUUAACUUGAGAAGAGGUUGUUUAAAAAGAUUACUAUAAAAUUUGUAUAAUUUUAAUUUCCUUUUUGAUAGUGGAUUUUAAGAUUGGUUUUGGUUGAUAAUAACUUCUAAAUAUUUAGAGUCACCUUUAUUAGACAUUGGUGACAUUUGAAAACUUAUUUUGGUUCUUUUAUUUGGUGUUUAGAAUAUAAAUUAUAUAAAUCUUAUAAGAAAAAGGAUUGAAGAAGGAUUUUGGUAGCAAAGGGAGUAAUUAGGUCACCAAUAUAGAUGAAUGGAGAUGGAUGAUGAAAAUCUCCAUUCGUAUUGGUCAAAAGUCAUGACCAAUAGGCUUUGAGGAGGCUGCCUGAGGCCAUAUUAGGGAUUAGGGUUAGUUUUUCGGGGCCAUUGGAGCUUUGAAGGCUAAGAUCAGCAAGUUUAGAUUUUUGGCUAUGGUUUUGGUGUAAAUUUUGUAUGGUUUGGAGUUUAUAUGAAGGAGAUAUAGGCUCUCAAAGUUAAGGUGUUGAUUUGAGAGCUAUUAUCACUCGUUUUGGCAUAACACACGAGUAGAGAUGGCAAUUGAGAAUCAGUGACUGCGACUAGAGAGAGCACUUUUUUAGCUACACUUUUUACAUAUUGCUUAUUAGAUUUUAAGUUGAAGUGAAGGAGUUAUUGGAUUUUGAAGUGAGCGCAUGCAAUCUAAGGGUAAUAAGUAACCCGAUUUACUAGUGGUUGUAUCUUGAGCUAUAUCUUGAGCAAUUUGAUAAAAUUUUGGCUCAAAAUUUUAGGAAAUGUGUAUAUUUAUAUUAGUAAAAUUUAUACGAAAGUUUGAUGAUAUUUGAAUAUUGGAUUCUUGAGAUAUUAAGAAAAUAGUUCUCAGGUGCUUGUAAAUUAAGGUUUAGAGUGUUUGCUAGGGUCUCUUAGAUGCCAAAAGAUUGAGGGUGAAUUUGUAGUUGAUUUUUUUUUUGGUAAAAUUUAUGGAUAAAUUCUAACUAUCUUAUAAAUUUUUAAUAAAUUGAAUGGUUAGAACAAGAGUUAUGAAUUUCUAAAGUUUGAGAAUAGAAACCCUUUGUGGGAAAAAUAUGUUUUGAAGAGAUUUUGUUAUAUUUUGAGUUUUAUGCAAAAUAAAAGAGUUUUAGAAGCUAAGAUAAGAUUCAUAUAAAGGUUUAAGCUAAACUCUCUACAGCAAGAUAUCCAAUAUAUUCCUAGAUAGCAAAUCAUGCUAUAUGACACCAAGUUAUUAUCUUGUGUAGUUUUCAAGUAUCCUAAAGGAUGGAGCUUAUGAAUGGUAUAGAAACCAUCUCUCUCAAACCUUUCAGAACUAAGACAUGCUUAUGAGAGCAUUCUUAGAAAAGUUUAGGCUAGAAGUAGGGCAAAGCAACACCUUUAUAGUCCUUUCUUCUUUGAGGCAAGAAAAGAGGGAAGAAAUCACUAAAUAUAUUUGGCAAUUUUAGCUUGUAAUAACCAAAUCCAUUGGAAUCCUUCUCAUGGAUGAUACCCUCACUCAUUUCUUUAUUCAAGGAUUUAAUAGUGAGGGAACAAUUCGAGAGAUCUUCAAGGGAAGACCAAAUAAUUUGGAAGAGGCCAAAAAAUUAGCUUGAGUGAUUGAAAAUAUUGAUAAGUAGUAAGAGCAAAUGUGAAAGAAGGAAGAUUAUAGAAUAUCUAACUUCAUUUCAAUACAUGCUCAAAAUAUAGGAAAUUUCCAAGGGCAUUUAUAUGGGACUAAGGAAACUCAAUUUCCAACUAUACACCACUAACUAACAACUUUAGAAGUUACAUUGCCUCCCAACCUUUCUGAAUUGACAUAUCCAAAAGAUAAGAAUAGAUAGAAGCAAGACUUUAAGAAUGAAGUCUUUGAAAGCCAAUAAAGAUUCUAAAAUAAACUUUCUCAAUAAAUGAAGGUUAUGCAAGAACAGAUGACUCUUUAAAUUAAUAGUCAAAAUCCAAACUAAGUCCUAUCUCCUAUAGAAUCUGAUAGACACACCUUAGGACUUUGGUGCACUUAGUGCGAUUAAUCAAGGCAUACAAGUCAAUUUUGUUCAAACCAACAAAAUCACCAACAAAAUCAAAGAGGGCUACAAUUAUAUACUCCACCUCAUAGAAACUAAGGUAUAGUAGGUUCAAAUUUCUAGUGCCAACAUCGAGAAAAUUUCAACCAUGGCUUUAAGAACUUGCAACAACAACAACAAGAAGUGUACCACUUUUACGAGAAAAGACAUCUAGAAAGUUUUUGGAUAAAAAAUAGGAUAGUAUGUGGAAAUUAUAGAAGAAACCAUCUUAAAAAUGUAUAUAAGCAACUUGACAUGAUGAUUCUUUUAAAAUGUUCACAAGAAAAUUAUCAAUAGCAAGCUCAAGAUCAAUUAAAGGAGGUAAAAAAUCCAAAUUUAGACAAUAUUUUAAGACCUCUUAACCUAUUCUAUGAUUAUAAUAAUAAUCAUCAAACCCAACAUCUCUUGUCAUGUUCAAAUAUAUAGAGAAGAUUUAUUUCAUUAAACAUAGAUCGACUUCAAAAUGCUUAAUGAAACGAGGGAAGAAAUCCACAAGAUGUAAGAUAUUUGGAAAUACCAACUGAAGAACAAGGUUUUCAACCUCUUAGAGACCAAUCGUCAUCUUCUCACACACAUUACAUCUCUCAUGAAGGAGUACCUUGUAAGGAUAAAGAACUUUUUAAUAUGCUAGCCUUGGCAGUCAUAACAAGGUCUAGAUAUAUGGGUCCUCCUCUUUCUAUCUCAAUAGAUAGUGAGAACAAUUCUGAAGACUCUCCUUAUUUUUUUGAUUUAAACAAAGUUAUAAGAGAGGCAAUGGAUAAUGUGAAGUAAGUAGGAAAAAUAUCCCAUAAUUUAGAAUCUACCACCACUCAAAAAACUAAGAUAGGAAAAAAAAAUCCUUGUAGAAGAAUUUUCUUCUAUAGAAAAAUGAGAAGGUCUUAGGAUUCGUAAAUUAGAAGGUGGUAUCUCAUUCCCUCAAAAAAAAAAAAUAAUCAAAGGGAGUCUUAUGACUUAUAAAAAGACUUGAACAAAAUCAAUGUUGACAUAACUAUUGCUCAAUUAUUGAAGGUUUUUCCAAUAAUGAAAAAAGUCUUUAAAAAAGAUUUGCCUAUUAAGAGAUACCAAAGAUCUAAGGAAAAAGUUCAAGUCCAUGUUAGAGCAAUUCAAGUGGCACAAGAAAUAAAGGCAAUUCAGUUAGAAGUAUUUAUAGUAGAUAAAAUCAUACCUUUUAUGAUUGUAGAUGGAGCUAGUAGAUUAAAUAUUAUGCUAAUAAGAACUAUGGAAAAAUUAGGACUUAGUAUCAUUAGAUCCUCUUCUUAUGUGAUUAAUAUGGCUAAUUAAAGCUAAGACACUUCUUUGGAGCAAAUUAGUGGUUGUAAGAUGACAACAUGGGGUGAAGAGUAUUCCCUCACAUUUCAUGUUAUACACAUGUAUCCUAGCAAAAAUUCAUAUCCACUGCUUCUAAGUAGACCAUGAUUAAGGGCAACAAGUGCCAAGAUUGAUUGGGGUGGUAAAAAAAUCCAUAUUAAUUAUGGUCCAUCAGAAAACCUCACAAAAAACUUCAUUCAAUCCUAAGGAUUAUUUUUGGAAAAAAAUUCAUCUCACUCUUUAGAAGAUGAGAUUCUAAACCACAACCACAAAAUGAAUUAAAAGAAAAAAAAUAAGAUUUACAAAUUUAGGAGGAAAGGAAUUGGCUUAUUCUAGUGUAAUCUAAACUACUCCAUUAAGUUGUAUGGGCCUAGGACUAUACAAUUGGAAAGAUGAUAGAAAAUUCACCCAAUGGUUGAAAAUUCAUCUUACUUCAAGUGGAGAUGAAGUUGUAAGUGUUAACUUUAUAGAUAGUUUUGCCACUUCGCAAAACAAUGAAGUAGAAGUGGAUUAAGCAACUUUGGUAGAUGACAUCAAUUUUAAAGAUGUCUUUGGAUUUAACUUUGAUAGCACUCAAGUUCACGAGCUUGAUGAGUUAAUAGAGGAAGACAUCCUUAAUCCACUUUUAUAAUUUAAAUGAACUUCUAGUGGUCUUACAAUUGGAAAUAACAUAGUUAUUUAUCCACAAAUUCCAAAUAAUUGGUAUAAAGGCCCUAUAGAAUAAACUCAUGUGCACAACCUUGAUUAGAAAUUAAUAGAUGUAUCUUUGAAGAAGGAGGAUCGAAAACUCAUCAAAGUAGGGAUUCAAUUGACAAAAGAUGAAUUGAUAUGUUACAAGUUGUUAAUUAUAGAGUAUAGGGAUGUAUUUGCAUAGUCUUAUAAAGAUCUUAAGGACAUACCUCUAAAAAUAGCCCAAUAUAGAAUCCCUCUUCUCUCUAAUUCAAUUCUUAUGACAUAAAAAGAAAGAAGAAUAAAUCCCAAUUUAGAAUUAAUUAUCAAGGUAGAAUUAAAAAAACUCCUCCAAGUAGGUUUUAUUCAACCUGUGAAAAUUACGGAUUGGAUUAUACGUAUGGUUUUAGUCAAAAAAAAGAAUAGAAAACUUUGAGAGUGCAUAGAUUAUAGGAAACUUAACAAGUGCACUCAAAAAGAUCAUUUCUUUCUUUCUUUUAUUAAUAAUACUUUAAAAAAAGUGGCAAGUCUUAAACUUUUUAGAUUUAUGGAUGUAUAUUUGGGAUAUAAUCAAAUACCCAUAACUCAAGAGUAUUCUCACAAAAUUGCUUUCACUAUGCCAUGAAGUACUUUUAUUUAUGUAGUGAUGUAUUUUGGACUUUGUAAUGCUCCAGCAGCAUUUCAAAAGGCCAUGUCCUAUGCCUUCUCUGACCUUCUAUAUAAGUCAAUGACAAUGUUCAUUGACGACUUUAGCACUCAAUUUUAUAAGACAAAAUAUUUAGAAUGUGUUCGAGCUAGUCUUCAACAUUGUCGAAAGGCUAGGAUUGCACUAAAUCUUGACAAAAUAUUCCUAACAGUUCAAAAGGAGGUUCUAUUAAGAUAUGUGGUCUCGAAAAAGGAUAGAGAACCCGAUCCAAAAAAAAUCAAAGUUAUUAUAGACUUAAAACCUCCUUCCAUGGUAAAAGAAGUACAAAGGAUGUUAGGACAUAUAGGAUGGUAUUAGGAAGUCAUACAAGAUUAUGCUACACUGUCCAUGCUUAUAACUAAACUAAUACAAAAAGAUAUGAAGUUUGAAUGGGAUAAAAAAUGACAAGAGGCAUUUGAUAUCUUUAAAGAAAAACUUAAUACCUUUCCUAUCUUAAGAUCCCUUAAUUGGUCAUUAUCCUUCGAUGUGCUUUAUAACGCUUCAUUGGUAGCCGUAGAAAGCACGUUAUAUUAAACAAGUAGAGAGAGAGGCAAGGACUAUCCUUUGCUAAUAGGCAACAAAAAAAUUCUAAUUCUAAUAGAAUACUAACAAUGCUAAACAGCUUUAAUCAAAUUCAAAGAAACCUCAAAGAAAUUUCAAAGAAAUAAUAAGAAAUCUUAAAGAAAUAUUAGAAUGAUCACAAAUUUAUCUCAAAUACAUCACAAUUCAAUCUUAAUUUAAUCCUAGUUAAAAUCCUAUUAGACUUCAUUCAAACUUUAGGCCAAAACUAAUUAAAUCUUAAAUCCUAAACAAAUCCUAAUAAAAUCCUAAACCCUAAAUCAAAUCCUAAAUUCUAAACCAAAGUCUAACCAAAUCCUAAACAAAUCCUAAAUCAAAUCCCAACCAACUCCUAAACCAAACCCUAAAUCCUAAACCAAAUCCUAAAUCUUAAAUCAAACCCUAAACAAACCCUAAAUCUUAAAUCAAAUCCUAAAUAAAUCCUAAAUCAUAUCUUAAAUCCUAAAUCAAAUCCUAAAUCAAACCCAAAUCCUAAAUCAAAUCCUAACCAAACUCUAAAUCCUAAAUCAAACCCUAAACCAAAUCUUAAAUCCUAAAUCAAAUCCUAAUCAAAUCCUAAUCUUAAAUCAAAUCCUAACCAAACUCUAAAUCCUAAUCAAAUCCUAAAUCCUAAAUCAAAUCCUAAACCAAAUCCUAAAUCCUAAAUCAAAUCCUAACCAAAUCUUAACCCUAAAUCAAAUCCUAACCAAACUCUAAACCCUAAAUUAAUCCCUAACCAAACCCUCGUAAUUCUUACAACAGAUUUAAAUCUCAAUAACUAAUGAAUGAAUCAUCGAUCUUAAUCCAAAUUUUUCACACUUUUUGAAAACUAAAUUAAAAAAAAGCACAAAAAAUUUGAAAAAGAUCGGAAUUACCAAAUAGACAAUAACCUCAAAAAUGUGCUCGGAUAUUGGCUGGCUUCCUUUUCCAACCUUGAUGCCAAUCUCUCAGAGCCAAUAUCUCUCCUUUUCACCGUUCGAUUGAUCUCAAAAUUCUCAUACACAUAGAAAUACAAGUUAAAUAUCUUCUCACAUAAAUUUUAUUCCAAUCCAACCAAUAGAUUGCAAGAAAUCUUAAAAAUUCUCACUGGACCUAAAAUUCUACUUUUUGAGACCUUGACCUUGUUAAACCUCAAUAAUCCUUAAUUCAACCGUUAGAUUGAGCUCAAAUUUAUUAUUCAUAUUGAACACAACUAUAAAUAAUAACUUACAAUAUUUCAGCCAUAGAUCUGUUACAAAACUCUUGAAAUCACCCAAAACGUAAAUCUUAUUUUAUUUCACAAAAUUCAAGUCAUCCAAACCAAACCUUGACUUUGCAAAGCUCUUACAAGGUCAAUAUAGAUCCAAAGCAUCCAAAACCAAUGCUCAUAGAAACCUUAUUCAAUCUUCUAUUAAAUCCUACUCUCCAAUCUACCAAAGAGUCCCGAAGUCGUCGUCAAGACUCAAUUUUGUGCCUCAAGGUCUGAUUUUGAUCCUAGUUCAUAACUAGCCCUCUCCGGGUAUCAAUAUCUAGUUUUUCUAAGAAAAUUUUACUAGAAUUUACUCUUAACUUCCUUCUUAAGAUACUUAUAUUAUUUUUUUUCCAAUCUACAUUGUUUUGCCUUAUUUAUGGCCCUACAAAGUAAGUAGAAGUCACUUUUUUAAAAAGGCAGCAUUACUACUAAAAGUUUUACUACCUCCCUAACUUUUAUCCAUAUUUUUUUAUAUUAUCUUUUAACUUUAUUUUUCUAUAAUAAGAUCCAUAUUAUCAUCUUUUACCAUAUAGUUGUAUUACAACACGAUAAUGAGAAUGCCAUGCCAUGGUUUUUUCUAUUAAAAAGUUUAGACAUUAUCUUUUCUUAAAUCCAGUGGUAUUUUUUAUAGACCACAUGGUAAUCAAGUACCUUGUGAAUAAGGCUGAUUUAAGUAGUAGACUUACAAGAUGGGUGCUUCUACUAGAAGAAUUUGAUUAUAUAGUAGAAUACAAGCCUGAAAAGAUGUAUAAGCAAACAGACCAUUUAUCUAGGUUGUCACAACAAAUUGGUGAAGCCCUAAUUGACGACACCUUAAUACAUGAAACCUUGUUUAUUGUUUCAAUUUCUCCUACUUGAUAUGAAUUAAUUGCCAAAUUUAUGAUAACCUAAGCCUUGCCUUCUCAUCUUUCUAAAAUAGAAUGUAUGAAGGUGAGAAUCAAUAAUAGACACUUUACCAUAAUUGGAGGCAAAUUAUAUAGACGUGGAAUCAACGGGAUGUUAAAGAGGUGUAUCAUGGACAACAAAAUUCCUACCAUUCUAUCAAUAUGUCAUGAUAGUGCAUAUAAGAGAUAUUUUUCAGGGACCUUAACGGGCCAAAAAUCCUUAGAACUAGCUAUUAUUGGCCUAUAUUAUUCUAAGGCAUCUAUAGAUAUACAAAAGCUUAUGAUGCAUGUCAACAAUAUCGUAAUACGUAAAGUCUUGCUUGACAAUGAUCCGGGUACCUAGCUAAGGAAGAUAGAAUAGAAAUUGCAACAAUAAAAUCCUAAUUGUAAUAGAACACUAACAAUACUAAACAAGCCUUAAUCAAAUUCAGAGAAACCUCAAAGGAAUUCCAAAGAAACACUAAGAAAUCUUAAAGAAAUAUUAGAAUGAUUACAAACAUAUCUCAAAUACAUCUCAAUUCAAUCUUAAUUUAAUUCUAAUUGAAAUCUCACUUCAUUCAAACUUUAGGCCAAAAACUAACUAAAUCUUAAAUCCUAAAUAAACUUAGAUAAAAUCCUAAACUCUAAAUCAAUUCUUAAACCCUAACAAAAUCUUAAAUCCUAAACCAAAUCCUAAUCCUAAAUCAAACCCUAGCCAAACCCUAAACUUUAACCCUAAAUCAAAUCUUAAUCAAAUCUUAACCUUAAUCUUAAAUCCUAAAAUAAACCUUAACCAUACUUUAAUUCUAAAUCAAGCCCUAAUCAAAUUCUAAACCCUAAAUCAAAUCCUAAUCCUAAAUCAAAUCCUAACCAAAUUCUAAAUCUAAUCCUAAAUCCAAAACUAAAUCCUAAUCAAACCCUAAUCCUAAAUCAAAUCCUAAUCAAACCUUAAUCCUAAAUCAAAUCCUAACCAAAUCCUAAUCCUAAAUUAAAUCCUAAUCAAAUCCUAAAUCUAAUCUUAAAUCCUAAAUCAAAUCCUAACCAAAUCCUAACCCUAAAUCAAAUCCUAACUAAAUCCUAA
Molecule: long non-coding RNA, 55203 nt
Filed under: Physcomitrium patens
Lineage: Eukaryota; Viridiplantae; Streptophyta; Bryopsida; Funariales; Funariaceae
Description: long non-coding RNA (PPAT_LNC006813)
Source: RNAcentral